CCGCCUUAUUUGGAAAACGCGUCAAACAGUUUUAUUUUAAUUGCAUCGUCACCGUCAAAUGUUCCACCAUCUAUGUAAUCUUAGCCGCCUAUCUGGACUCCGGAUCCUAUAUAAACUCCUACAGGGUUCCUUCAUUGCUCAAAUUUGUUUGCUUCGUGAUAGCUCUCGAUUUUAGGGUUCGUCAUUCUUGUUUUUAUCGCUCUGAGUUGUUUUCGUUAUUUGGAUUGGAUUGUAGAUAUCAAGAAUUGCGGUACUCAAGAAUUAUUUGUAUAAAUUUUUGAUAAUGAAGAUAUACGUUUAACAGUUUUGCAGCGACUCUUUUUGCGAUUCUCGAUACCACAGAUAAGAACGGGAAUGGUUUCAGACUUCUUGAUUUCAGAGUUUGCUCGUUCUCGUUCUUGUGCCCUACUUUCUCUCUUUUCUUAAUUUCUUGAUUGCUUGCUUGAUUAGUUGCUCAGUUAAUUGCUACGCGUAAGGCUUGAUUUCAGGUUCUGCUGUUCGACUGGCUGCUAUGAACGUGGUUGUUAGGGAUUUUCUUAUUGAUACCUUUUCUGUGGAACCUGUGGUAGGCCGAUGUUCAUCUAAACUAAAAAUCUUCUCUCUCAUUUUCUCCAUCCAUUUCUUUGUGAGUUCCCUGUAGGCCUCACAUGGAAAUAUGUGCUUAGAUGAUUGUCGUGGACAUUCUGCUUGAUGUUUCAUGGAAGAGAGGCAAUGAAUGUAUCGUGGAAUUUGAACCUUCGCAUUUGAUGCAAUUUAUAAAUUGGAAAUAGGAAGACUGUAGAUCAUCCAUGGGGCUUAAGGGAGAAGAUGAGCCUUGACAAAUAUAUGAUUUUAUAAUUUCUUUUACUCUCAAUAUUUCUUUAUCAAUUCUGAGACCAGAUGAUUCCUGAUGUGUUGUUAUUUUCCUAUUUUUUAUUGUAGGUGAGAUGAUAUAUAAACACAUGAUUCCUUAUGGUUCUAUCUUUCCUUAAGUUGUUGCAUUCUCCAACCUAGUUUUUAGAUUUGGUGAUCUUUAUUAAAUUCUCUUCUACAAUUUAAACGUCAAUGCAAUAUUGCUCAUCAGAUACUAUAUUAUUUUGAUCUUCCUCAUUUUGAUCUUCCAAGUUUUGUGUUCUUAUUAUUUUGGUUUCUUUGUUUUGUUGUUUCAUCUGGUUGUUGUGGUUUUCAUUUAUUGGCAUAUGCUCUUUUAUUUUAAUGAAUUGCUACUAUAUUUAGUUCUUCAAAUAUUCUUCUUCUUUUGAUCAUGUUUUCAUUUGUUGGCAGUAUGAUGGAGUUCUGAUGUGAAAUUUCUGCUUUAAGGUGUUGCAGGUAAAGUAUCAAAUGUUGGUUAUGUUUUGCAAACUUGAUAGAUUUACGUGUUUAUCAUCCUUUGUUGAAUUUGUCAACUGCAUCACAUAUAGUAUCCAACAAUCAAGUUUAUUUUAAUACUCUUCUUGGAUUGUGCGAUAUCUUCGAAAAUAUUGUUAUGCAAUAUAAAGCAAUUAGGUUUAGUUUGAUACACCUUUUUUAGAUUGUGGGUGUUACACAGGAGAGAUAGGUCUAUUGAUGUACGGUGAGGGGGUGGUUAUAACUAGAAAGCUAGCCUUAGGGUUUUCUUGAACUUUAAUUUUGCAGUGCUGAAGUUUAUCUAAUUUUGGAGAAAUUGGGACAACUUUGGGGGAUUCAUUUUGUAACCACGUUCUACUGAUUAGCGUUGUUUGGAGAAUCAUGUUACACUCACUUUUUUCUUGGAGAUCACUAAAUGUCUCAGGGAAUUUCUUAUUGAAAUAUUCAUGUACAUGUGUAUGUUAGAAACAUGAUACAUAAAUCAAAACCAAUAACUUCUAGUUUUUAUUUUGUUUGUUUUUGUCACUAUAAAAUAUAUAUGUACUUGUAUCAUUCGGUGCCGAGUACACGUAAUGCAUGUGUUGGUUUGCAGUCUGAAUUUUGAGAUAUUGGAGAUGAGUGUCUGAAUUUCAAGAUAUUAGAGAUGAGUGCUUCUGCGGUGUGAACUACUUAACAUGGUGUCGAGGAGAUGUGGAUAGUCAUGUUUGGCUGGUUGAGCUGUAUAUUCUGUUGCUAUGCUUAAUUUUGUGAUCCAAACUUAGAUUUGGAUAUUUCUGCAUCAUCCCUUCUGAUUCUUCUAUGCAAGUUUGUACUUAGAUUUUCACACUUUUUCAUUCUUCCUUACAUGCUGGUGUUUGAAGUUUUUGUAUUUCUUCAGGUGAUGAAGCUUUUGUUGUGUCUAUAUGAGGAACCUAAAUUAUAGUUUUAGCAUACAAGAUUAUGGAAUUACUUUUUCCCCUUCCCAAGUUGAGGAAUUUUUACAAGAUAUGUGUUGUUUGUUUUGAUGAUUGGUUGGUUGGGGAUAACUCAACUUUGUCCGAAUAGGUUUUCUAUAAUCUUCUGUUAUGAUGUUUCUAUUUGUGAUUUAUGAUGAUUAUGAUACAUACUCCUAAAAGACAUCCUCUCUUCUUUGCUGCAGUGGACCAAAGACUCUUAUUAGGAUGAAACCAAAAUUAUCAUUACAUGAUCUCUCGAGUUCCUCAUAUUUUGUGGGCCGUAUACUCCCACUGUUGCUACGCUCUAGUUUGGUCAUCUCUACUAAUACUCUUUUCAUUUCAAUAUUUGUUUGAUUUUGAUAUUCAAUAUCUACUUUAUUCAACAUAUACUUUUGUCAGAUCCAUAGUCUCUCCUGUGUGGAUGUUACACCGGAGAUAACCUAUAAAUGUCUUCUUUUUUUGGUGGAACCUGUGGCAGUCAGAGGCUCACAUUCUUUUUGUUUAUAGCUGCCGUCAGAGGUUAACAUUCUUUCUGUCUAUAGCUUUGGGAAAGAAUAUUCAAUUUUUUAGUUACAUAUGGUCUAUUAGUUUUGGUAUUUGGGAUAUUUGUCCAGUAAUGGUGUGUCCUGUUUUAGUUGGGGGCAUACAAGAAACCAUACCCGAUUCUAGGGAACAUCUCUAUCUCGAGGAUAAGAAAAUUUGCGGUUUUAUAAUAUAUUAAUAAAAUAUUAUAUUAUAUUAUAAAAUUAUGUAAACUAUUUUUUUACUUUUAAGCGAAAGUGGUGUUUUCUGUUUAACAUAUAUUAUAGGUAAAAACGUGGUUAAAGAUGUGAGGUUAACUGAAUCCAAAUAAUAAGGUAGAAUCUGUUUUUGAGUUUGGUAUAGGAUAUUUAUACUUUUGUUUUUAACUUUCUAUAUGUACGGCCUAUAUUUAUUUAUUGGCUAUUUCAAUUCAAUAAUAGUAGAGCUUUUUCAACUUCUUUUUUUUUUUUUUUCAUUUCGUAACAAAAGGAACACAGGAUGACUAUGGCGAAAAAUGAAGGGAAUAUGUCGUGUUACAGCGAAGAUGAAUGAUAUAGCGUAUUUGAUAUAAAAAAUGAACAUUUAGUAAGCGGUGGAAAGCAUGGAAUGUGUGAUGAUGCUUUUUGCCCUACAUGUCCCGAGUACUUACAAGUUAAUCAAGAAAUAAUAUCAGAAGUUUCUAUUUUAUCACAUCAAGAGGUAUUUUUCUUCCUAAUAUAAUUGAUACUAUAAAUUAAAGAAAACUUUGAUUUAUAGUAUCAAUUAUAUUAGGAAGAAAGAUACCUCUUGAUGAGAUAAAGUAGAAACUUCUGAUAUUAUUUCUUGAUCAACUUGUAAGUACUCGGGACAUGUAGGGCAAAAAGCAACAUCACACAUUCCAUGCUUUCCAACGCUUACUAAAUGCUCAUUUUUUAUAUCAAAUACGCUAUACCAAUCAUCUUCGCUGUAACACGACAUAUUCCAUUCAUUGUUCGCCAUAGCCAUCCCAUGUGUUCCUUUUGUUACGAAAUGAAAAAUAAAAUAAAAUAGGAUUGGGAAAGCUCUACUAUUAUUGAAUUGAAAUAGCCAAUAAAUAUAGGCCGUACAUAUAGAAAGUUAAAAACAAAAGUAUAAAUAGGAGAUCCACUUUGACUAUACCAAACUCAAAAACAGAUUCUACCUUAUUAUUUGGAUUCAGUUAACUCCACAUCUUUAACCACGUUUUUACCUAUAAUAUAUGUUAAACAGAAAACACCACUUUCGCUUAAAAGUAAAAAAACAGUUCACAUAAUUUUAUAAUAUAAUAUUUAUUUAUUUUAUUAAUGUCUUUGAACUGUCUAUAGAAAUUAAUAAAAAAUAUUAUAUUGCAUCCAAAGAGUAUGGAAAAGGUUUUAGAAUGAGAUAAAUAUAUUAAAAAUUAUUUUUACACCCUUCUCUAUAUUUUAAAAUUUUAUAUUUUGUUGUAUUUUAUACACUACUAAAAAUAAUGCAAUCACUGCAAGAAAAAUGUUGAUUAGCUGGGUGAGUUUGCCAGGUGAUAUACACCUCGCAAAUUAUUGCAGUUGCGGGGUGCAAAACACCUCUCAAUCCAGUUUUUAAAAAAAAUAUAUAUAUAGAUGUUUUUUAAGAAAUUUGAAAUUUUGGGAAAAAACGUUGCAAGAGUGUUAAUCACCUCGCAACAAUGUUUUAAAAAAAUAUUGGAAAAUCAAAUAUUACAUUUACUAAAAAGUCAGGGUGGCAGGUGACUGUUUGGUGAUUUUAUUGACACAAAAGUUGCGAAGUGCAAACCACCUCGCAAGUCUCAAGGCCUCUGUGCGUUGUGGGGUGAGGACCACUUCACAAGUUAUUUUUAAAAAUUUUGAAGAAAAAUAAAUCUGGCAAUUAAUGAUGGCACGGAGUAGCAGGGGUGCUUUGUCAGACACAUAGGUUGCGGGGUGGAAUGCAUUUCGCAACUUGCAAUGGCUUUUUUUAUUGCGGGGUGAUUAACACUACGCAAGUUUUCUAAUAAAAUUAGGGGGAAAAUAAAUCUGAAAAUUAAUGAUGGUAUAGAGUAGUGGAGACAUGUGUCAGAACAGAGGUUGCGGGGUUAUUAGCACGCCGCAAGUUCCAACGUCAAAAAUAUUUGCUGGGUGUUUCUCACCUCGCAAAAUUUCUUCAUAAUACUUUUCAUUUUCAUUUCCCACAUUCAGUAUUCACCCAAAAAAACCCUAAAAGUCAUCUUCUUCACCCCGACACCACCAGUCUUCACCCCAACACCAUUGUCUUUGGUACUUCCCAUCAAACCACCACAAAUCUCAGUCUCUUUCGCUUUUUCCCUAAAAAUCAUCGCCUUCAGUUCAUCUUAAUUCCAUUUUUUUUACAAAUCAACACAUCAAAACAGCUUGUAAUGCCUUGUUGGAUUUGUCUAUCACCACCUUCGCCUAACAACAACUUCUACAUUUCGAAGCAUAAUCUUAUGUUUAUAAAAUGGGGCUUGCAAUUUCUGUUUCAUUAGUUCUAUAAGGUUGGAUUGGAGUGUGAGGGUUAUUAGAAAAUAGUUUUCUAAUCACAUUGCUGGGUUCAAGCAUUAACAGAGCUUUUUAAGAAGAUCUCUAAUUCAAUUGAAGCUGAUGGAAAAAUAAGCAAGGAAGAAAUUAAAUUAGCAAUCUUCAAGGAUAGUCAACCACAAAAUUUAUAUGCAGAUCAGGAAGUUUUUCUCUUCCAGUUGCUUAACUACUCUUUGAUUGUGAUCUUCAACUUUGUUUGUGAAGAGACCAGAUAGCUCUUGGUAUAGAUACCGAGAAGUAGAAAAGUUGGCAUCUCUUUCAGGAAUUUAACUAAGGGUAAAAUGCAUCCACGUCCUGAGGAUAAAGGUAAGAGUGUUAAGAAAGUUCGUCGCACGAGGAUACGUGUAGUUGAGGUUUCUUCAAAUUCUAUGUAUUGCCCUUUGCCUCAGUCUAGUCAGGGGGCUCAGCAGACUACACCUCAGCAGACUCAGUCUAGUCAGGGGGCUCAGCUGACUACACCUCAGAGGACUACACCUCAGCAGACUAUGCCAUAUCAGACUAUGCCUCAGUCUAUGAGCACAGAUCCAUCUCAUAGAUAUUAUACUUCACUUCUCACUUCACAGAAUGUUCCACCAGGAUUUUUGAUACCCGACAUGCAGCCUGGGGGUUCUAGCAUCCCAUAUCCCCACCUGGACCCUCACCAUCCCAUCAGCCCGAGGAAUCUCGCAUCCCACAUGUCGAUCCUCGUCAUCCCACCACUCCAUGGGCUCAGGCACCUCACAUUCUCCACAUGGAUCCUCGACAUCCCAUCACCACCAGGAGCAUGAUGAUCAUAUAUUGCCCGACUAGGAGGAUGAGGAGGAGGAGGAGGAGGAGAAGGAGGAGGAGGACAUUGAGGACGUGGAUGUGGUUGCGAUGGAGUAUAAACAUGAGAAGCAGAAUGGAAGAUGGGUUAUUAGACCUGUUGGAAACUCUUUUGUGCCAAGUAGGCCUGCUGCAGUUAGCAUAAAGGAAAUUAUUCAAGAGUUGUAUAAAGCAUCUUGGAAGACUUUCGGACAACUUGUGAAGAAGGAUCGCGAUAUAUAUAAAUGUUGGUUCGACAAAUUUCGGGUAUAAUAUUUUCUUUGAGCAGUUAAUUUUCUUCUUCUAGUUGGUAAAUAAUGCAUGUUAGGUACACUAUCUUUGCUAUGAUUGUUAGAUAAUGCAUGUUAGGCUGAGACCAAACAAUAGUGCAUGUAAGGAUUGUUUGUCACUAUGUGACUAUGUACACAGUCUGGUUGUUAAAUAAUGCAUGUUAGGUUCGACAUGCAUGUUAUUUCUUCUUCUAAUUAUUUUCUUCUUCAUGAAUUUAUAAGGACCUCAUUUGGUUUACAUCAAAUGUAAUAGAAAAAAAGCAAUGCAAAUAGUAUUAAUUUAAGCAAGUAAUGUCUAUGAUAGGCAAAUCAAUUUUAAUUAAGGAUAAGGGAAGUAAUACUGAUUGGUGUUGGUCACUUGCUUGAAAAAAAAAAAGAAAACAGUGAGGAUUCCACUUAGUUCAAGUAGCUGUAUAAGAAUUUUCAGUUUAGAUCGAUGGUGAGUAAAAAAAGUAUCUAAACUUAUUAAAAAGAAAAAAUCUAUUUGGUGCUGAGUACACGUAAUGCAUGUGUUGGUUUGCAGUCUGAAUCUCCAGAUAUUGGAGAUGAGUGUCUGUCUGAAUUUCAAGAUACUGGAGAUGAGUGUCUGAAUUUCAACAUAUUGGAGAUGAGUGCUUCUGCGGUGUGAACUACUUAACAUGGUGUCAAGAAGAUGUGGAUAGUCAUGUUUGGCUGGUUGAGCUGUAUAUUCUGUUGCUAUGCUUAAUUUUGUGAUCUAAACUUAAAUUUGAAUAUUUCUGCAUCAUCCCUUCUGAGUCUUCUAUGCAAGUUUGUACUUAGAUUUUCACACUUUUUCAUUCUUCCUGGGAUUCUAUUUUACUUACAUGCUGGUGUUUGAAGUUUUUGUAUUUCUUCAGGUGAUGAAGCUUCUGUUGUGUCUAUACGAGGAACCUAAAUUAUAGUCUGACUUAGCAUACAAGAUUAUGGAAUUACUUUGUUCCCUUCCCAAGUUGAGGAAUUUUUACAAGAUAUGUGUUGUUUGUUAUGAUGAUUGGUUGGUUGGAGAUAGCUUAACUUUGUCAGAAUAGGUUUUCUAUAAUCUUCUGUUAUGAUGUUUCUAUUUGUGAUUUAUGAUGAUUAUGAUACAUACUCCGAAAAGACAUCCUCUCUUCUCUGUUGCAGUGGACCAAAUGAAACCAAAAUUAUCAUUACAUGAUCUCUCGAGUUCCUCAUAUUUUGUGGGCUAUAUACUCCCUUGUUUCUACGCUCUAGUUUGGUCAUCUCUCUACUAAUACUCUUUACAUUUCAAUCUUUGUUUGAUUUUGAUAUUCAAUAUCUACUUUACUCGACAUAUACUUUUGUCAGAUCCUUAGUCUCUUGUGUGUGGAUGUUACACAGGAGAUAACCUAUAAAUGUGUCCUUUUUUUUUUGUGGAACCUGUGGCAGUCAGAGGCUCACAUUCUUUUUGUUUAUAGCUGCCGUCAGAGGUUAACAUUCUUUCUGUCUAUAGCUUUGGGAAAGAACAUUCAAUUUUUUAGUUACAUAUGGUCUAUUAGUUUUGGUAUUUGGGAUAUUUGUCCUCUAAUGGUGUGUACUGUUUUUGUUGGAGGCAUACAAGAAACCAUACCCGAUUCUAGGGAACAUAUCUGUCUCGAGGAUAAGCAAAUCUGCGGUUUUUUUGCAUCUCUUUUGUUUUGUUGAUUUGCCAUUUCCUUUGUUAUAAUUUAUUUUUUGUUUAUUUUUAUUGUCAUAUGUGAUAUAUCAGAAAUUAAAAUCUUAUCUCCUAUAUGGGCAUCCCUCAGCUGCUACUGGUGCUAGAACUUGGUAUAAGGGGAGCCUAAUUGAGCACAAGAGGUUGCAAUUGGUUGUUGUUGUUGUUGUACUAUCAUGUGGUGAUCUCUACAUGUUUUUUUGUAUAUUAAGGUAUUGUUUUCUCGAUUUCUUUGAGUUCUCUGUAGGCGUCAAAUGGAACAUGUGCUUAGAUGAUUGUCGUGGAUAUUCUGCUUGAUGUAUUGCUACAUGCAAACUUUACCAAAUAUCUGAAAAAAUAUAUACGAUUCACUAGAAAUGUCAAUGCAAUAAUGCACGGUAUCCAUUUAAGCACUAUUAUUUCUUUAUUAGACGAGAUUUUAUAAAUUUGAAAUAGGAAUAUUGUAGAUCAUCCAUGGGGCUUAAGGAAGAAGAUAAAAGCCUUCACAAAUCAGAAUAUGAUUUUAUAAUUUCUUUUACUCAAUAUUUCUUUAUCAAUUCUGAGAGCAGAUGAUUCUUGAUUUGUUGUUAUUUUCCUAUUUGUUAUUGUAGGUGAGAUGAUAUAUAAGCACAUGUUGCGUUCUCCAACCUAGAUUUUAGAUUUGGUGAUCUCUAUUAAAUUUGGUGAUCUCUAUUAAAUUCUAUCUAUGGAUUUAAAUGUCAAUUCAAUAAUGCUCAUCAGAUACUACAUUAUUUUGAUCUUCCUCAUUUUGAUUUUCAAGUUGUGUUCUUAUUAUUUUGGUUUGUUCAUUUUGUGGUUUCAUUUGGUUGUUGUGAUUUUGAUCUUGGAAUUUCUUUCUUAAUUUAAUAAUUUGCUACUAUAUUUAGUUCUUCAAAUAUUCUUCUCUUGAUCAUGUUAUCAUUUGUGGGCAGAACGGUGGAGUUCUGAUGCAAGAUUUCUGCUUUAAGGUGGUGCCAGGAAAGUAUCAAAUGUUGGUUGAGUUUUGCGAACUUGUUACUUUUACAUGUUUAUCAUCCUUUGUUGAAUUUGUGAACUGCAAGAUCACGUGUAGUAUCAACCAAUCAAGUUUAUUUUAAUACUCUUGUCGGAUUGUGCAAUACUUUUAAAAAUAUUGUUGUGCAAUAUAAAGCAAUUAGGAUUAUUUUGAUACACUCUUGGAUUGUGGUUAUUUUGAUUUCACUAAUUUCACUAAUGCUUUGCAUAGUUUUAUUGCCCUGUUUAUUUAUUCCUUAAUGAUUUUCACUUGGGUGUUACAUGGAAGAUGGGUCUAUUGAUAUAAGGUGAUGGGGGGUUUAUAACUAGAAAGUUAGCCUUAGGAUUUUCUUACCAUAUACAUAUUUAUCUUCUCUUGCAUUUUAGUUUUUGAACUUUAAUUUGGUAGUGAAGAAGUUUAUCUAAUUCUGGAGAAAUUGAACUUUAAUUUGGUAGUGAAGAAGUUUAUCUAAGUCUGUGCCUUUUCAUACAUGUAGGAUUUUAGACAACUUGGUCACGCCGUAAGUGUGCCGUUUGUUCUGAUGAUUUGUUCAAGGACAACUUAACUUUGUUGGGAGAGUUUUUCUAUAUUCUUCUUUUGUUGUUGUGUUUAUAUUGUUAUUUUUUAUUUAUGAUUAUGAUGCUUCUAAGAAUAUAUUCUCUUGUUUACAGUGGCCCAAAGACUCCUUUGUAUUAGGAGGAGGUUGAAACUGUGUAUUUUCAUAAGGAUACAUGUCCUUGCAAAUUGGAUGGUAAAUUUGUUCUUUUGUAGUUUGUGGUGCAUACACCCUAUCGUUGUUAUGCUUUAAUUUGGUCAUAUCUACCAAGACUCUUUACAUUUCAGUCUUUGUUUGAUUUUGAUACCUAGCCUCUAUUUGCCAGAUCCAUUGAGUUUGCAUUUGGAACCCAUGGUUGGCUUAAUUGGUUCACAUACUUUCCAUUCCACCGCUUUGGGAUGAAACAUGGGAUUUCUUACCUGCAUAUAACACAGAAUCUGCAAUUGGCUGCUUUGGGAUGAAACAUGGGAUUUCGUUACAUGCUUUCCAUUCCAUGAUUUCUUUAUUCAAGAUCUAGUUUUCUUGAUUUCUUCAUAAGUUUCUUGUGGAUGUCAUAGGGGGAUAUAUAAUGUGGAAGUUGUGACAAAUUUAUCAUGGACAUUUUGCUUGCAAGAGAAGCUAUGAAUGUACUUGGGUAUUUUAAAAUUAUGCUCGACAUUAUGAAUGAGAUGCUUUUUUGUUUUGGUGUGUCCUAUGAUGUACAAUGUAGCAGAUUUGUGUGUUUAGAAGUAUGGGUUUAUGUUUAGGAGAAUUUAAGCAUUUAUGGUUCUAUAUUAUAUGUCCACCUCUUUCUUGGAUAAUUGAAACAUGCGUCUGUUUUGCAGAGUGAAGUUUGAAUAUCUAGAAUGUUUAGAGAUAAUUGAUGAAAUGGAGAAGAAACAAGAGUUUGUAAAAGUCAAAUAUCUUCAAUGAUUCAUCCUUCACUAUUUUAAUAUCGAGUUCUAUUUAUAAGACAUGAGUUGAUUCGUGAACUUACUUUUCUGUAGUUUGGUUUGGCAAAAUAUUGUUCUUUGUCAUAUAGAGCCACAACUUUGAUUUGGUGAUCUCUAAUAUUAGGAAGAUCCUAAAAGUCCCACAUUGAUUGGAGAUAGAGCAUUGAAAGAGUAUAUAUAGAGGGACACUCCUCACCUUACCAACCGGUGUAAGGAUGAGUUAGGUCAAACUCUUAUAUGGUAUCAGAGCCUAUCGACCGGACCAUAGGCCGCCCACCGUUAAUAUCCACGCACCAAGCCCAAAAAGAGUGCUGGGCGUGAGGGGGUGUAUUAGGAAGAUCCUAAAAGUUCCACAUUGGUUGGAGAUAGAGCAUUGAAAGAGUAUAUAUAGAGGGGCACUCCUCACCUUACCAACCGGUUUUGUAAGAAUGAGUUAGGUCAAACUCUAAUAUCUAGUAAAUUCUUUUACUUCUAGUAUUCUUUAAAACCUGAAAGGCAUAUAUUUGUUGAUUUGUUAAUUUUGUGUCUGGUGUUGCUGAUGAACACAUGAUUCCUUUUAGUUUUCUCUCUCAUUUGUUAUUCAAGUUCUUGUAUUUUCAAUCUUUUUUUCCUUGGUGUUGCAGAUGAACACACUUCCUUCUUCCCUCUGAUUUGCUAUUCAAGUUCUUGUAUUAUCAAUCUUUUUCCCUUGACUGCUUUGGUUUCUUGAUAUUGUUGCUUUAUUUGGUUCUUGAUGGUAUUGGUAUUGGAGUUUGUUGUUUGAUUCACCGCUGUUGAUGAGUUGUUUGGGUUUUGAUUGAUUGUUCUUACAAUUAUCUUUGAUUUAAUGCAUAGUUUUUAUGAAUAAUUAUUCAUUUGAUAAUCAAGCAAUAAUUCUUCAAGUAAAAUAGUAUUGAGAAGUGUUUAUCCUUGUUGCAGCAUGUUGGUUUUAAGAUAUCUAACAUUUGGCAAUUCUUAAUGAAGUGGAUAAGAACAAGGGCUACCGAUAUAAAUCAAUUCCUUCAAAGAGUCAUUCUAUAUUAUUUUUAUUUUCAGGCUUUGAUCACAUUACAUACAAAUUGAAUUGUGAACUUGUUUUUCUGCAGUGGUUUGCCAAAAUAAUCUGUAUCUUUCAUUACUGAGUGGAGCCUAUGAAUUUUGAUUUGGUGAUUUCUUUUAAAAUCUCUAGUUUUCAACAAUUGUUAAAUAAUAACUAUCUUUCAAUAGAAUGGAUUGGAGCCUGAGUUUUGAUUUGAAGAUUUCUUUUAAAAUCUUUCUGGUUUUCCAACAAUUCUUUAUCGCCUAUUGAAGCCAUAUUUUUCUUAAUUUUUUAUUUUCUCUGGUGUUGCAGGGAAGGUAAUUUGUGAACACAUGUCCCUUGAUGUUUUGUAUUUGCUUCUGGUAUUGAUUAUAAGCUGAAACGACUCCUUUUUUCUUAUGUAGAGUUGUGUGUUUUGAAACAAUAAAAUCGUGUAGAACAAUUUCCAGGUAUAGUUUUUUUUAUUCUUAUUCCACUUCUUCCUGAUUUAAUCUUUUAUGAUUUCCACUUGGAUAAGUCUUUUGAUUUUGAUGUUUAAUUGAAUAGUUCAGCCUUAGAGGUUCUUACCAUCAAUACUAUUUUUUUUUCUUCCGUAAAAGUGUAUGCUCUAAAUUUAGGUUUUUUAUCUAUAAUUUGACAGGAAAAAAGCUUACACAUUUCUGGUGAGCUUCUUAGUGUUUCAUAGGUUUGAUGUACUUAAAAAGUUUUCCUCUUUCUCAAUCAAAUUGCACCUGUUUAAUUGGGUUAAAAAUGUCCCCUUCAGCCUAUAUUUUUAUUUCACUUUAUACUUAUACAUAGAAAAUGAGAUUCAUCUUCUGAAGUGAAGAAAUCGAAGUUGGUUUUUCUCUCUCUUUAAACUCGUUGGAUGAAGUGGAGAUGUAGAGAUGAGUGUUUCUGAUGCCCUGUACUACAUAUCUGUGAAAGAAUAAAACGGGACACAUGAGCCAUAAUUUUCUGCUGACUGUGUUAGAUAUUUGCUAGGCAUUAAUAUUGUGAUCUCUAUUUAGAUUAUAUAAAUUUUCCAUUCUUAUGUAUUGUUUCAGCAUCCUCGCUUUAGUCAUUUUUAAAUUAUAUGCUCUUUAGUCUAUUUGUAUCAGUUACUUGAGUCUUACUCUGGUUUUGCUGUAACCCCGUCCUUCACAAAUUGAGGAAUAACCCUGCCCUCCCCAGAAUGAGGAAUCUUGGUUAGGUUUUAUUUGCUUUAACUAUCUGUUUGUUGGGGACACUUUGGCAAUGGAUUGAUGAUAUUAUUUUAAUGUUUAUUGUUUCGGUUUAAUUUGUGAUUUAUGACUUGUACUCUUCAAUCAAUAUCCUCUGGUUUUAAGUGGAAGCUUAAAUUUAUAAUGUUUUAGAUUGAGGACAAGAUCUUGCAAAUUGGAUUGACAUCUGUUCCGAAGAACCAGCAUGUUCUGUAGGCUGUGUUGUAUACUUUAAUUUGGUCAUCUCUACCAUGACACUUAACAUUUCAAUUUUUGUUUUGAUUGAUACAAUUAUUUUUCUCAGUUCUUUUGAAUUUUCAAUUUGGUGUUACAAUAUUGAAGCAUACAAGAUUUAUUUUCCAGCUCCGUGAAUGAAGAAUUUUGGGAAGUUUAGUUUGGCGUUGUUAUAAAUUUUGGUGUGCCUUGGCUCUGUUGCAAGCGGAGGUUAACAUUCAAUCUGAUAUCCUUUCAAUCUUUUGGACAAAACUAGUCUUUUUUCACACUUGUAUUUGUUUUGCAAUUGGGAUAUUUGUCCUUUGAUGCUGUAUCCUGGUAGUGUUGGGAGUUUUUGCAUCAAGAGGUGGAAUGUUGAAGCACACAAGGUUUGUCUGCCAACACCAAGGUUGGAGAAUUUCGAAAAGCUUGGUUUAGCGCUGUUUUGUUCUACUGGUUUUCCAUUUCCUUUGUUAUAUUUUUUUCUUAUAAUUUUCUAUUUAUAAGAAUAGGAAUACUUUCUCCCAAAACAUAAUCACUCAGAUUUGGAGUAUAGCUAUGUGGUGGAGUAGAGCCUAUGUAGCACCAGAAUCUACAAUUUUAUUUGGUGUCUCUAUUCCAGUUAUAAGAAAAAUAAAAGUGGUCUAAUUUUAUCAAAUCCUUCAUGAGUUCUCUUCAUAUUGCUUGGUUUUUAUUGAGGAUCUAGUUUCCCGUGGACUUCAUACAGGAAUACAUACAGUGAAGGUUGUGGCAGAGAUUAUCAUGGGCAUGGUUUUACUAUUGUUACAAGGCUGAGAGGCUAUCACUAUACUGUGGGAUUUGAAAGUUAUCGCCAACAUUAUUAAAGACAUGUUUCUAGCCUUUGGAUUUAAUGAGGGUCUUUGUUUUCCCUAGUGUAAUUUGAAAGCCAUCUUUUUCUUGGAUAACUGGUGGGAUGUGUGUCUGCAUUAGCAGCGAGUUGAUGUUUGGAUAUCUCUACUGCUUGGAGAUAAGAGGAAAGUCUAGAUAAAUCAUAUUUCAUCCUUUACUAUCUUCCUUUUUUUCCUUGAUUACUAUGGUCUCUAAGUCUCUCGAUAAUGAGGUUUGUUUUGGUUAUUGAGCUUUGCUCUUAAAUAUAAAUUUUCAAUUCUUUUGGAUUAUUUGUUUAAUUAUCUGAUAUAAUUCUUUGUUCAAUGAUUGAGCUAUGCUCUUUAAAAUAAAAGAAAAUUGAGAGAUAUACAUUUAACCAUUUUGUGGCGAUUGAUAUCUAAAUUAGGCCUCUACAUGAAUUGUGAAUUAUUUUCACUUCUUCAUAUUCUUAUUGCACGACUUCUUGAUUUUCUCCUUAAUGAUUUACACUUGGUUGUUUCAGUUGAGAAAGUUACACUGAUGUAUAAUAGAAAAGUUCAGCCUUAGGGAUUCUUACCAUCAGGGUUAUUUUUAUUUUACAAAUGUUAGUUCUACAUUUCGGUUUUUACUUUGUAUUUUGACAUGGAAUAAGUUUCCAUAACUCCGGAGAAGGUGGGCCUCUCUUUGUUAUGUUAAUUUGAGAAUUGGUGGUUUGAAGAAUUAUGCGAUUAUUCUUUCUUUUUUCUUGGUUCUUUUUCUACAACUCGUUUGUCACAACAUAAUUAUUGUGUUGAUAAGAGUAACUGUUACUUGGGUUUUGAUGUACUACAUGAAGUUGUGGUAACUUGGUGGGCCUCUCUUUGUUUUGUUGAUCUGCGACUUAGGGGUUUGAUGAAUUAUGCUAUUAUUAUUUUUUCUUCUUGGGUCUUUUUCUACGACCCAUUUGUCGCAGUAUAACUUUGUGUAUAUCUAUCACGUGUUGACAGAGUAAAUGUUAUAUGGGUUUUGAUGUACUACAUAAAGAUUCACAAUUAUACUGCUCCUUUUUAAUUCGUCAUCCGAAGUGGAAAAAUUGGAGACAAGUAUUUCUUCCGAUUUGUACUAAUAUCCUUCUAUGGUUGAAUCGACAAGGGCAUGAUAUCUGGAUGUGUAUUUCAAUUUGGUGAUCUCUACUCGUAUUAUGAAUUCUUUACAGUUCAGUAUUUUGUUUCAUCAUACACGUUUGAUUCCUAUCAUUUAGAGCAUACAAGAUUCUAGGGGUAAAUGCAAUGCGCCUUUCUAAAAAUGAGGAAAUUUGGAUAAGUUGGUCAGGUGUGAUGAAAUUCUUUUACAUUUAUACUAACGAUAUCCUCUUCCUUACAAUGGCCUUAGUAAGGGCUUUCUUUGAAUUUACAUAUUUUUUUAUUGGUACUCAGCAAUUACAUAAAUUCGAUCCGUGGAAUUUUCUUGGUGUUGUUAUAGGGGAGAGACGUGAUGAACUUUUGGUGUUCUGUGGCCUGUGUAGCAAGCAGAGGUUAUCAUACUUUAUUUACAAUCUUGGGAUAAAUCCAGUCACUUUCUUACAAUGUUUUUGUUUUGGGAUUAAGGAUACUUGUUCUCUGAUGGUGUGUCCUGGUAGUAGUAUUGGAGUUUGUGGUUUUGUAUCAGGAAUUUGAUCAUUAUAGCAUACAAUAUUGUAGAGUAUAUCUUUAUGCCUGCACUGGAGAUGAGGAAUUCAGAAGGCUUGUUUUUUAGUUCAGUUAGUUGAUUCUUGGGAGAGAAGGAAGAGACAGUCCAUGAAGUUGUGGUGUGCUAUGGGUCACGGCAAGCAGCGGUUAGCGGUUACCAUACUGUCCAACCUUGGGAUAAAAACCGUCACUUUUAUACAUAUUUGUUUAGGGAUGGGGGAUAAAACCCGUCACCUUAGGAAUUCAUGACGUUUGGCGCUCUCUUCUAUUCUGUUGGUUUUCAUCCGCUCUCUUCUAUUCUGUUGGUAUUCAUCUUUCUUUGUUUUUUUAAAUUUAACUGAUUCUUAAGAAUCUCUUUUUUAUUUAUCUGCAGUCUUGGUUACUUCACUCUUCUGUACAGGAGGAAUAGCUUGAUGGAAUCACUUUGUUCCGCUGACGUCGUCUUGGUUUGCAAAAUUACACUUCCCUUUUCCUCCUUUUUUAUUGACAUCUCUGUCACAGUAUGUAAGGAAGAAUAACUUGGUGGAAUUACUUUGUUCUGCUGACCUCCUUCUUAGUUUGCAAAAUUACGCUUGGCCAUUUUCCCCUUUUUUACUAUUGGCAUCUCUGUCACAAUAAUGUAAGGUUCUAUUUUCUCAGCAUAAUGAGCAUGUUUUUCUGUAGAUGGAGAAAUUUGGAAUAACUUUUUGUAAUCAUUUUGUUCCUCUGUCCUGCCACUUGGUUUGGAGAACUACACUUCUAGCUUCAUGUAAGAAAUAGGCGAUCUUCUCUUGAGUUAAUACUUAUCUUUUUUAACCUUAAAGAAUUCUUAGACAUGUAGGUUUGUGCAGUGAUAGUUCAACAUGUCAUGGUUUGGCAUCAUUCUCAAAUAUCAAUUGCUGUCUUCUGAAGUUUGAGAUAUUGAAGAUUUUUCCAGAUCAGGCCGUAACAAAUAUUAUAGAUGAGUGACCUAAUUAUUUGUAUCCCUAGGAGAGGAAUAUAAAUUUUGAAUCUUUGAUAAUGUUUUCUUAUUUUAGUUUUCUGGUUGUUGGUUUUGAUAGAGAAUGUUGCUUGGUGUGGCGUGGUGUGAGAGUUUCGGUGGAGAUUAUAGAUAAUUUUAUGUAACUUGAUGUUAUGUAUUUGUUUUGAACUAAAGAUAAUUCUCUGAUGGUUUGAGUUAGCCUGCAGCUGUUAUCAGUGUUGGAAAAAAUAUAUAUUUUAGAAUUUUGGUCAGCUUCGAUGGACUUGGGGAUGCUUUUCUUUACCCUUUAUUUAUCUGGUGAUGUACAUAGAAUUGAAUCUCUUCUUGUAGGUUGUUAUUUUUUUGUUAUUGCCACAUAUUUCUUAGUGCAUAACAAACACACUGUCUUGACAUCAUUAACAUUGGCUUGACGGUGAUUUCUACUCGGUUAUGUAUCCUUUGUUCUUCGGCUGAUUCUUUGUAUUUUAAUCUCUUGGAAAUUGUAAAUGUAAUGUCAUGCAUUAUCUAAGAACAACCAAGAUUCUAGAAUAUAUCUCUUUGCUUAAACCAGAGUGAAGGACUUCUAUCUUCGUUCCUAUGUAGAUCGCAUCGAGCUUGGUACACACUUUGCUCAGUAGCUAGAAACUGUGUGCUAACUCAUGUUUUUUGUGAGGUGUCUUAAUUACAGUAAUCAUGUAAGCAUUCUAUUCAAGAUGAAAGGUUUUGGAAAGGAGCUAUUACUGUUUAUGUGAUAUUUGUAAGAAUCUCUGCUAAAUUGAGCUCCAUUUACUCGACAUAAUGCUUGAGCAUAUACUAGACAAGAGCCUUGCGUCAUUGUUGGCGAGUUCUUCAUUUAGUUUCUUAUCCUAAAGUGUCGGAUGGUUAUUUGGUAGUGUUAAAGAUGAGUGAUUUAACAGCCUUCUUUAAAAUGUGAAAGUCGUCUUUCCUGAUGCAGAGCCAACUAGUUGAUUAACUAUUAAGCUCUCUGAUUGAUGUGAAUGAAACUGCUAAUUAUUCACAACAAACCAAACCUAUAAUAAGUAAUGAAUUGUAAGAGAUUUUACUAAAAAAUAUAUUCUGAGAAAAUUAAAGUCCAUUGGAUUGGAAGAGAUUUUACUAAAUAGCUAUGACAACUUGAAGAAUGCUUUGAAUGUUAAUCUCUUGUCUGCAAAUUAAUGUUCAAAUUUAUAUAUAGAAGGUCUCUACUUGUGCUCUAACUGUCAUUAGAAUAUAAUACUUCAACCUUAAACCCAUCGUUAUCUUUUCACAUUUACAUGAUUUUAGCAAAACUAGAUCAUGCCUAUGGUAAGAUAGAAAAUAGCUUCAGAUAAAUUGAUUUUGUUUAUCUUGUGUAAGUAGUACUAUGUCAACCUGCUAAAAGUGAUUUAAUUUAUGAGUUAUUUUAUUUCAUGCAAAAAAAUUCAAGGACAUUUAUACUAUGGAAGCUUUGACAGAAUUAUCAAGGACAUUUAUUUUAUUUCAUGCAAAAAAUUUCAAGGACAUUUAUACAAUGGAAAUUUUGACGUAUUUAUCAAGGACAUUUUGCUUUUUAUUUUGCAGGCUAGAGAAGCUAUGAAUGUAUUGUGGUAUUUAAAAGUUGUGGUCGAUAUAUUAUGAAGGAGAUGCUUUAGUUUAAGCCUUUGGUAAUGAGUUAUUUUAUCUCUCUCUCUAUAUAUAUAGAAUGUACUUGUUUUAGGGUUUCCUAUGAUGUUACCUUUGUCACAGAGCCUCAACUUUGAUUUGGUGAUCGCUUGUAAAUUCUUUUACUUUGAGUAUUAUUUAAAUCCUGAAAGGCAUAUAUUUGUUGGUUUGUUAUUUUUGUUUUUGGUGCUGCACACAAUUCCUUAGUUCAUCUUUCUCUUAUUUGUUAUUCAAGUUCUUGUAUUCUCAAUCUUGGUUGCUUUGGUUUCUUGAUAUUGCUGUUUUAUUUGGUUCUGGAUGGUAUCGAUAAUGACCAGUUGUUUGGGUUUUGAUUAAUUGUUCUUACAAUUUCUUUGAUUUUUAUGGACAAUUAUUCAUUUGAUAUUCAAGCAAUACUUUUUAAAGUAAAAUAGUAUUUGAUAUGUGUAACAUGUUGGUUUGUAGAUAUCUCAUUUGUCAAAUCUUAAUAAAGUGGAUAAGAACAAGGGCUACCGAUAUGAAAAUCAAUGAUUUGGUGAUUUCUUUAAAAAAUUUCCUGGUUUUUAUCAAUUAAUAAAUAAGAACUAUCUUACAAGAGUGGAUCCUCUGAACUUUGAUUUGAUGAUUUCUUUUAAAACCUGUCUGGUUAAAUUCAACAAUUCUUUAUCACUAUUGAAACCAUAUUUUUCUUCAUUUUUUAUUUUCUCUGGCGUUGAAGGAAAGGUAAUUUUUUUAACACGUUUAUCUUCUUGUUUUAUUUUCUGUUAUUUGGUAUUCAUGUUUUGUAUUUGCUUUUGGUAUUGAUCGCCAUACAUAUAUAACUGAAAUGACUAUUUUUUUCUUAUGCAGAGUUGUGUGUUUUGAAACUAUAACAUCGUGUAGAAUCAAAUUCCCAGGUUUAUUUUGUUCGGAUUCUUAUUGCACUUCUUCUUGGUUUACUCUUUUAUGAUUUCCACUUGGAUAAGUCUUUUUUUUAUGUUUAAUUGAAUUGUUCAGCCUAGGGGUUCUUACCAUCAAUACUACUUUUUUUUUGCAAAGUGUAUGUUAUAAAUUUGGGUUUUUGAUCUAUAAUUUGACAGUAAAAGAAUUUACACAUUUCUGGUGAGCCUUCUACUCUUCUAGUGUUAUAUGGGUUUGGUGUACUUAAAAAGUUUUCUUCUUUCUCAAUCAAAUUGCACCUGUUUAAUUGGGUUAAAAAUGAGAAUUAUCUUCUGAAGUGAAGAAAUUGAAAAUGGUUUUGUAUGAAGAGGUGGAAUGUUGAAGCCUACAAGAUUUGUGUGCCAACGAAUUUCGAUUUACAUCCCCAACACGUAAACUUCGAACAGAUUGUACAUCAUCACCACAGCUAUCAUCACUGUCAAAAACUUAUCAACUUUGAAAUUCUUCAUCACUAGUCUCAAUUUUCUCACUUUCUUCACCAUCAUCAAAUUCAUCUUCAUCAUCAUCAUUAUCAUAUUCUUACAAUCCUCUUUCGCCAACAAUAUCCUUACUUUGUUUCUCAUUUUUAACAUCAAUGUCGUCAAUCUCACCAGCAUCACCAUUAUCAACAUUUUCUACUUGUUCAACACAAGCCUCAGAAAAUUUCUUAUUAAAAAAUUUCAAUCCCCUCUUGAUCUCCUUCCUCGUCAGUGUCAAUGCAAAUAACAUCAUCAGCAUCACCAUCAACAUUUUCUACUUGUUCAACACAAGCCUCAGAAAAUUAGAAAAUUUCAACCAUUCUUGGGUUCCCCUCAUGUUGUUGCAUCCUGUUUUUUAAAGAAUGGUAAAUAUUAAUACACUAGUAUAUUCCAAAUAACCAAAAGCAAGAGAGAUAGAAGGAGAGAUUUCAUAGUAACAUAUUGGGUAUAUUAUAUAAAACAUGAUUUGAGCUAUAUCAAUUUUAAAUGCAUAGAACAUAGUGGGUAUAUUAUAUAAAACAUGUGGUAUAUUUCUGAGCAUAUUUGGGCUGUGUUUUUUCUCCCAUGACUCAAACCAUUUUUAUCAAUGGAUUCCUUCUUAAUGUCAUGAUCACAAUUAGAGGAUGAACUUCCCAUAUUUUCCUGCACAGCUCCAUUGGUCCCUAAAUUUCCUCAGCUCCAUUGGUCCCUAAAUUUUCUCCAGGAGUAUUCAGCAAGGAGACGCAACUCCUUCGGCAAAAAAACUGUGUUUUUUCUCCUAUGACUCAAACCAUUUUUAUCAAUGGAUUACACUUCUCGCCACUACGGAUGUUAGCUUUACUUUUAAAAUCCUUUCCCUUCCUCUCCGUGCCAACGAAUUUUGAAAAGUUUGGUUUGGUGCUAUUUUUUUCUAUUGGUUUUCCAAUUCCUUUCUUAUAUUUUUUUCCUUAUCAUUUGCUAUUUAUAAGAAUUGGAAUAUUUUAUCCCAAAAUAUUAUCACUCAGACUUGGAGUAUAGCUAUAGGGUAAAGCUUAUGUAGCACCAGCAAUUAUAAAUUCUUCACUUUUCUUUGUCUUAAUUGAAGGUCUAAUUUUUUCAAAUCAUCCAUGAGUCUCUUCACAUUGCUCUAGUUUGAAGAAUUAUGCGAUUAAAUAUUCCAAUUCUCUACACUUUUCUUUCUUCUUGGUUCUUUUUCUGCAACUCAUUUUCACAGCAUAACAUUUUGUAUAUAUAUCAAUUAUGCGAUUAAGAAUUAUGCGAUUAAAUAUUCCAAUUCUGUAUAUAGUAACAGUUACAUGGGUUUUGAAGUACUACAUGAAGUUGGGCCAGCUUGGUGGGCAUCUCUUUGUUUUUUUUAUAUGCGAUUUGGUGGUUUGCUUAAUUAUACGAUUAUUCUUUCUUUUUUCUUGGUUCUUUUUCUAAAACUCAUUUGUCACAGCAUAAUUUUUUGUAUAUCUAUAUGUGUUGACAGAGUAAGUGUUACAUGGGUUUGAUGUACUACGUAAAGAUUCAUAAAUAUACUGCUACCUUUUAAUUUGUCAUCUGUAACAGAAAAAUCAAAGAUGAGUAUUUCUUCCGAUUUGUACAAGUCUCCUUUUGUGAUCAAAUAAAAAAGACAUGUGAACCAUAAUGAUAUGUGGAUGUGUGUUUUAAUUUGGCUAUCUUUACUCAAAUUAUGAAUUUUUUACUAUUCAGUAUUUUGUUAUAUCAUACACACUUGAUCCCUAUCAUCUUUGGGAUAAAAUACGCAUUUUUCUGUAACAGGCAAUUCUUCCUGUUGUGUUUCUAUAUUCGUAACAUGAAUUUUACUCUGGUUUAGAGCAUACAAGAUUUCGGGGCAACUCCGCCCUUUCAAAAAUGAGGUAUUUUGGAUAAGUUGGUUAGGUAAGAUGAUAUUCUGUUACAUUUAUAUUCUGAAAAUGAUAUACUCUUCAUUACAUUUGCCUCAGGGCUCCUCUGUAUUCAGGUGGAAGCUUAAAUUGUGAUGUUUCUUAUUGAGGACAAGAUCUUGUAAAUUUGAUGGAAAUGAAUCAUCAUGUUUUGCAAACUGUGUUGUCAUGCUUUAAUUUUGUCAACUCUCUACUAAGAAAGACACUUCAUAUUUCCGUCAUUUUUAUUGUUACUCAAUAAUUACAUAAAUCCGAUCCUUUGAAUUUUCUUGGUGGGUUUUAUAGGGGAGAGACAGGAUGAAUUUGUAGUGUUCUGUGGCCUGUGGCAAGCAGAGCUUAUCAUAUUGUCCUUUAAAUUUUGGGAGGACCAGAGGAAAAGACAACACCAUUGUCGGCAAGAUCGCUAAUAGAGCGGCAGCUUCCGUUAGAGUUGCUAAGGCAGAGGCUUCUCAGAACGGGAUGGACAUGCUACAACUGGUUUUCACCGGAAACUGAUGGCUGAACAGGUGCAGCGGUAAUUUUGUGCACCCCGACGUGGAGCUGCUAGAGUUUCUAAUGCUGUCGAGGAGUCUGCUUCUGUGGAGGAGGUACAGGCUGAGUAUGUUUCUAUUGCUAUUGAGGAGGUAUAGGUUCCUGUUGCUGUAGAUGAGGUACCUGUUGCGGCUGAGCAGCUGAGCAGGUUCCUGUUGUCGAUGAAGAUGAUACUCCUACAGAUACAAAGGCCACGACUUGUGCAUCUAUAAAGGUAUUUGUUCACACAGAUGGAGCUAUCUCGGUAGGAUAUAGUGAUCGAUCUAGUGAUCGUUCUGUGCUCACAAAGUAAGUUGACCAUGUUACAUACAGAGGGUAUGGCAGGGAGAGGUAUUUAUCUUAUAUUUUUUAUUUGCAAAAUAUUUAAUAUGGUUUGGUGAUGUGUUGAAAGUUAACUGAUAAUUUUUUAACUUUGUUUCCUACACGAACGUCCAUCGCUGAAGGUUGUAUCUCAUUGGUUGAAGUUGAAGAACUUCCCCCCGAGUCCAAUGCCUGCGUGAGUUAGGCGUAUUGUUUUUUAUUUCAGUCUGUUGGAAUUCGCCGAUUGCUCAUUAACAAUGUUCAACGCCUUCCUUUUGUCAUCAGAUACUAUAUUAUUUUGAUUUGUUGCGUUCUCCAACCUAGUUUAGAUUUGGUGAUCUCUAUUAAAUUAUUUUUUAUGAAUUUAAAUGUCAACGUAAUAAUGCUCUCAUCAGUUGCUAUAUUAUUUUGAUCUUCAAGUUUGGUGUUCUUAUUAUUUUGGUUUCUUCCUUUUAUGGUCUCAUUUGGUUGGUGUGGUUUCAAUCUUGGAGUAUGCCCUUUUAUUUUAAUGAUUUGCUACUAUAUUGAGUUCUUCAAAUAUUCUUCGUUUGAUCAUGUUUUCGUUUGUUGGCAGUAUGGUGGAGUUCUGAUGUGAAGUUUCUGCUUUUAAGGUGUUGCCAAUAGAGUAUCAAACAUUGGUUAUGUUUUGCAAACUUCAUACAUUUACAUUUUGUUCUAUUGGUUUUCCAUUUCCUUUGUUAUAUAUUUUUCUUGUAAUUUGCUUCUCUACUGAUAUGUAUUCAAUUGCUUACAUCACACCGUUUACUGAAUAACGUCUGACUACAACUUAACGUCCGACUACAACUCAAAUGAGUUCUUAUUUUCUCCUAAAACAUUUCUAUUCUAGUUAUAAGUUCUUCACUUUUAUUUUUCUUAAUUGAAGGUCUAAUUUACAUGAACUGUGAAUUAUUUUCAUUUCUUCUAGUUCUUAUGGCACGACUUCUUGAUUUACUCCUUAAUGAUUUGCACUUGGUCGUUUAAGUUGAGAAAGUUUUCUAUUGAUGUUUAGUUGAAAAGUUCAUCCUUAGGGGUUCUUACCAUCAGUAUUACUUUAUUUUACAAAUGUUAGUUCAACAUUAGGGUAUUUAAUCUAUAUUGUGACAGGGAAUAUGUUUUCAUAAUUCCGAAAAAGAUGGGGCAGCUUGGCGGGCCUCUCUUAGUCUCUUUGUUAUUCUGAUCUGCAAUUUAGUGGUUUGAAGAAUUAUGCGAGAAGAAUUAUGCGAUUAUUCUUUCUUUCUUCUUGGUUCUUUACGACUCAUUUGUCACUGCAUAAUUUUUUGUAUAUAUAUCAUGUGUUGAUAGAGUAAAUGUUACAUGGGUUUGAUGUACAGUACUACAUAAAGAUUCAUAAUCAUACUACUACUUUUCAAUUCGUCAUCCGAAGCGGAAAAAUUGGAGACGAGUAUUUCUUCUGCUUUCUGUUAUCCUCUUGUGAUCGAAUCAACAAGGACACGUGAACCAUAAUGAUAUGUGGAUGUGCGUUCUAAUUUGGUGAUCUCUACUCAAAUUAUGAAUUAUAUAGAGUUCAGUAUUUUGUUUCACGAUACACGUUUGAUUCAUAUCAUCUUUGGGAUAAAAUUAUGCAUUUUUCUAUACUACGCAAUUCUUCCAGUUGUGUUUCUGUAUUCGUAACAUAAAUUUUACUCUGGUUUAGAGCAUGCAAGAUUCUGGGGUAACUUAGCCCUUCAAAAAAAAUGAGGAAUUUUUAUAAGUUUGUUUGGUAAGAUGAUAUUCUUUUACAUUGAUACUAAAAUGAUAGCCUCUUCAUUACACUGGUCUAAGGGCUCUUCUGUAUUGAGUGGAAGCUUAAAUUGUGAUGUUUCAUAUUGAGUACAAGAUUUUGUAGAUUGGAUGGAAAUGAACCAUCAUGUUUUUCAAACAGUAUUGUUACGCUUUAAUUUGAUCUGCUCUCUACUAAGAAAGACACUUCAUAUUUUUGUCUUUUUUAUUGAUACUCAGUAACUACAUAAAUAUGAUCCUUUGAAUUUUCUUGGUGGGUGUUAUAGGGGAGUUACAUGAUGAAUAUGUAGUGUUCUAUUCUAUGGCUUGUAGCAAGCAAAGGAUACUUUCCUUUCAACCUUGGGAUAAAUUCAGUCAAUUUCUUACAACGUGUUAGUUUUGGAUUGAAGAAACUUGUUCUCUGAUUGUGUGUCAUGGUAGUGUCGUAAUUUGUGUUUUUGUAUCAGGAAUUGGAACGUUGGAGCAUACAAUAUUCUAGAGUAUGUCUUUAUGCCUGCACUGAAGAUGAGGAAUUCGGGAGGCUUGCUUUUUGGUUCUGUUAGUUUUCAUCUUUCUUUGUUCUAUCAUUGAUUUUUAAGUUUAAUUGAUCCUUUGGAGACAAGGGAGAGACAUUUCAUGAAUUUGGGGUGUGCUAUGGACUAUAGCAAGCAGAGGUUACCAUACUGUCCAUUAAACCUUGGGAUAAAACCUGUCACUUUUUUACAUAUUUGUUUUGGGAUUGGGGAUAUUUGUCCUUCGAUGGUGUGUCCUAGUGGUAUUGAAGUUUGUGUUUUUGUGUCAGGACUGUACUAAAGAUGAGGAAUUCGGGAGGCUUGGCGCUCUUCUAAUCUGUUAGUUUUCACCUUUCUUUGUUCUGUUGGUUUUUAUUUUUCUUUGUUCUAUCCUUUGUUUUUUAAGUUUAGUUGAUUCUUAAGAAUCAAUAUUUAAUUCAUGUGCAUUCUUGGUUACUUCUCUUCUGGACAGUAUUCAGCUUGGUGGAAUCACUUUGUUCUGCUGACUUCAUGUUGGUUUCAAAAUUACACUUCCCGUUUCCUCCUUUUUUGUGAGGUAUCUUCUUAAUUAGUAAUCAUGCACAUGUUUGUUCAUUGUGAUUUCUUUGUGCUUACUUAUAGUGAUAAUUGCAAAAUAUAUGGUCUGUGGAAGCUUUGGGGUUCAUGUAAGCAUUCUAUUGAAGAUGAAAGAUUUUGGAUAGGUCAUUGUUUCAUGAUUUCAUCAGGAGCUAUUAAUGUUUAUGUGAUAUUUGUGAGGUUCUCCUCUGCUAAGUUGAGCUCCAUUUAGUAGACGGCGUUACGCUUGAGCACAUAUUAGGCAAGAGCCUUGCGUCAUGGUUGACCUAGUUCUUCAUUAGAGUGUUAACUGAUGCUUAUUUGGUAGUGUAAAAGACGCGUGAUUCAACAGUCUGAUUCAGCAACCAUCUUUUAAAUGCUACUGUUCUCGUCUGCUUGAGAUACCUUCCCGGAUGCAAAGCCAACUGAUUGAUUAAUCAUUGAGCUUUCUAUUGAUGCGAAUGAAGCUGCUCAAUAUUCACAACAGACCGGACCUACAAUAAGCAAUUAAUGGUAAGAGAUUUUACUAAAUAGCUACGAAAACUUGAAGAAUGCUUUGAAUGUUAAACUCUCAUCUGCAAAUUAAAAUUUAACUUUGUUGUGAAAAACGAUACCAAUAACAAAGUAUAAUAGGGAAUUAGAGAGGAUAAGAAGAACACAAGAAUUGGUUAUAACUGCUAUUCAUUCACUUUCUCUUAAAACAAGAUUACAAGUUUACAAGAAUAACAAAUAACCUCUCUCACCCUAAAUUAGGAUUUGCAGCUUAGCAAUGAUGAGAGACUAGUAUGCUAUUUAUAAUAAAACCUAACAUACUAACUAAUGGGCUUUUUCAGCAAGGUCCAUUACACAAGCCAACUUAAUAAACAAGCUAACUUAACAAAUUAGGGUUUAAACAUCUAAAACCUAAUUUAACAUGCUAACAACCCUAGCAUCUUCGACAUCUGCAUGCUAGACCCAUCUUCGACUACAGCAUGCACACUUCGACAGCAGCAUGUGAACAAUCCUUCGACUUCAUGCUUAAUUCUGUCGAACCAAGAAGCUACCCUUCGACAAUACUAGAGUUCGAUCCAAUAUCUCACAAAUCUCCACCUUGGACCUAACUCUACAACGUCAAGGAACAAACUAGCUUUCUUCAUGCAGCUUUAUCAACUGCAUACAGUGGAAAAACUUGCAACUCGGCAAUGUCUUGGUGAUCAUAUCAGCAGCAUUGUCUUCAGUCGAAACCUUCAGCACUUUGACUUCUCAACGCUCGAUUACUCCUCUGACGAAAUGCAGCCUCACAUCAAUGUGCUUAGUCUGCUCAUGAUAGGCUGAAUUCUUCGACAGGUGUAUUGCACUUUGACUAUCACAUUUAACAGUGAUACCUCGACCUUGAAGUUUUAGCUCCUUCGCAAAACCUUCAAGCCACAAUGCUUCUUUCACAGCUUCAGUUAGGGAAAUAUACUCCGCUUCAGUGGUUGAUAGAGCAACAACCUUCUGAAGUGUUGCUUUCCAACUAAUUGCAGUGCCAAACAUAGUGAAAAUAUAUUCAGAAAUAGAUUUUCUGGAAUCCAUACAACCUGCAUAAUCAGAGUCGACAUAUCCUUCUAUUACUGCUUUACUAUCUUCACCCAAGGCUCCACCAUAAAUUAGGACUCUAUUCAGAGACCCAUUUAUGUACCUUAAAAUCCACUUCAAUGCUUGCCAGUGAGUCUUUCCAGGAUUCUCCAUGUACCUGCUUACAAGACUUACUGCGUAAGCUCUGUCGGGUCUAGUACAAACUAUAGCAUACAUCAAAGAACCAACUAUAUUAGCAUACGGAAUGCUAUUCAUAUAGGCUCUUUCGACAUCAGUACUGCGACACUGAUCAAUACUCAGCUUGAAUUGAGGGUUUGUUGGAGUCACAACUGGCUUCGAAUUCGACAUACCAAACUUUUCAAGAAUCUUCCGUAGAUAUGCCUUUUGAGAUAAGCAUAACUUCGACUUCUUUUUAUCUCUUCGAAUGUCAAUUCCAAGAAUCCUGGAAGCAGCUCCCAGAUCCUUCAUAUCGAACUCCUUAUUGAGUUCAGCCUUCACCCUCGUCACAUCUUCAACAUUGUUGCUUGCUAUGAGAAUAUCAUCCACAUAAAGCAACAAAAUAACAAAUGAAUUACCAGAUCGAAAUCUGAAGUAAACGCAGUGGUCGAACUGACUUCUAAUGAAACUUAUGCGUGCCAUGAACUUGUCGAAUCUCCUAUUCCACUGUCGAGGAGAUUGUUUCAGCCCAUACAAAGAUCUCUUUAACUUGCACACAUAAUCUUUCUUCCCCUUUUCGACAUACCCUUUAGGUUGCCUCAUCAGGAUCGUUUCAUCUAGAUCACCAUACAAGAACGCAGUCUUCAUCCAUCUGUUCCAGUUCAAGAUCGAACUGUGCCACCAUGGCAAGCAACAUUCGAAUGGACCUAUGCUUCACAACAGGAGAAAACACAUCAUUGAAGUCGACACCUUCUUUCUGAGUGAAAUCCCUUGCAACUAACCUUGCCUUGUAUCUUUUCGACGUCACUCCUUCAAUUCCUUCCUUAACUUUGAAAAUCCAUUUACAGCUGACUAACCUUGCCCCAACAGGUUUCUUGAUCAGUUCCCAAGUAUGAUUAUCAUGAAGAUAUUUCAUCUCAUCAUCCAUGGCCUUCAGCCAUUCAGUCUUAUUUCGACUCCUGAUAACUUCCUUAUAGUCUCUAGGUUCUUCGUCUAGAACCUCACUUGCAGAGAUUAAGGCAUAAGCUAUAAGAUCUGCAUAUCCAAGUCUCUGAGGUGGCUUGGUGACUCUUCUCGACCUAUCUCUCGACAAUAGGUAGUCAUCGUCAGUUUCCUCAACUUCAGCAUCUUCUGCUUCUUCUUCAUCUGGGAUAUGCAAUUCAGCAUCAACAUGCUCCACCUCAACAGGAAUCUCUACCUGUUCCAUCUCUUCGUCAGAUGUUUCUGUACUUCGACCAACAUCAUCAGUUUUCUUAAAAGCCAUUUCAGCUUCAUUGAAAACUACAUCUCGACUGGUGAUACACCUCCUGUGACCUGGCUCUAGGCACCAUAGCCUAUAAGCUUUGACUCCUUCAGGGUAUCCCAUGAACAUGCAUUUCAGAGCUCUAUGUUCGACCUUGUCUUGCCUAAUGUGAGUAUAGGCUACGCAGCCAAAUACUCUCAGUUUGUCGAGAUCUGGUGGAUGUCCCGAUCAAACUUCUUCAGGUGUCUUCAUAUCUAACGCUGUCGAAGGACAUCUGUUUAUCAGAUAUGUUGCUGUCGAAACAACCUCAGCCCAGAACACCUUUGUUAACCCCGCACUAGUCAAUAUGCAUCUGACUCUCUCCAAAAUAGUUCGAUUAAAUCUUUCAGCCAAACCAUUUUGCUGUGGAGUACCUGCAGUAGUUCUAUGCCUUGCAAUACCAGAGGCAGCACAAAAACUGUCGAAUGCCUCAUUGCAAAAUUCAAGGCCAUUGUCGGUUCUCAACCUCUUGACCUUUCUGCCAGUCUGAUUUUCAACCAGAGUCUUCCAACUUUUGAAAUUCUCAAAAGUUUCAUCCUUAGUCUUCUGGAUGAAUACCCAUAAUUUUCUGGAAUAAUCAUCUACUAUGGAUAGAAAAUACCUUGCUCUUGAAUGUGAUGGACACCUUGCAGGCCCCCAAAGAUCAACAUGGAUGUAAUCAAGGGAUCCAUGUGUUCUUUGUUUGCCUUUGUUGAACUUCACUCUGCAAGAUUUUCCAAGUACACAGGGUUCACAAAACUUCAGCUUUUCGACUUUGUCUCCACCAAGCAGAUUUUGUUUCCCUAAUUCGACCAGACCCCUUUCACUGACAUGGCCCAAUCUCAUGUGCCAGAUUUCUGUCUUCGACAAAGGUUUCGUGGAUACAACAUUUGUCGAACCACUUACAACUUCAGCCUCAAGGGUAUACAAGUCUUGUUUCUUCACGCCUCUCAAGACUUCCUUCGAACCCUUCAUGACUCUUAGGAUACUUUUCUCUCCUUGGAAAACAUAUCCUUUCUUGUCGAAUUCACCAAGAGAAAGCAGAUUUCUCUUCAAAUCAGGAACAUAGCUGACUUCAGUCAACAACCUUAUUGACUCAUCAUGGAGCUUGAAUCUCACAGAUCCAACACCUGCAAUCUUGCAAGCCUUGUUGUUUCCCAACAAUACUGAUCCACCAUCUUGAUCACAUAAUUUCUCGAACAAGUCUUUGUUUGGAGUCAUGUGUCAAGUGCAACCUGAAUCCAUAAUCCACUCCUUCUUAGAGUCACUGCUUGAAACCACAAGAACAUCAGAUGAUUCGAAAUCAUCUUGAACAAUGGCAGUGUUGCCAUUAUCCUUACCUCCAUGAUAUUUCGGGCGUUCAGGGCACACCUUUCUUGUGUGACCCUCCUUCUUACAAUGGUAGCAGCGAAUGCCAGAUGCUUCGCCACCGUAAGACUUCGACUGGCUUUUGCCUUUCUUCUUGUCAAACUUACCAUCCUUUCGUAAGAGUUUUCCUUUAACGGCCAAACCUUCGCCAACAGUCGAAGGUUUAUGCUCCUUUCGUUCAUUCAAGUCCUUAGAGUACAAGGCUGAUUGAACUUCUUCAAACGUCAGGGACUCCCUUCCAUACAAGAGAGUUUCUUUGAAGUGAGCAUGUGAUCGAGGCAAAGAACACAAUAGUAACAGCGCUUGAUCUUCAUCAUCGAUCUUCACAUCAAUAUUUUCAAGAUCAAGAAUCAGCUUGUUGAACAUAUCCAACUGCUCAGCCAACACUUUGUCUUCAAUCAUCUUGAAUGAAUACAAAGCUUGCUUCAGGUAGAGUCGAUUUACCAGCGAUUUGGUCAUAUACAAACUUUCAAGUUUCACCCAUAACCCUGAUGCCGUCGUCUUCUUUGAUACCUGCCGGAGAACCUUAUCACCAAGGCUCAACAAAAUUGCGCUGUGUGCUUUCUCGAUCAUAUUCGUCUUCUCCGCUGCCGUCAAUUCUGCAUUCAUGGCUGCCUCUCCCUUCAACGCUUCCAAACAACCCUGCUGAACCAGUAGGGCUUUCAUCUUCAAGCGCCACAGACCGAAAUCAUUCACUCUGGUGAACUUUUCAAUCUCAUACUUUGUUGAAGGCAUCUUCUCCACGCUCACCGCACCAAUUUGUUGUGAAAAACGAUACCAAUAACAAAGUAUAAUAGGGAAUUAGAGAGGAUAAGAAGAACACAAGAAUUGGUUAUAACUGCUAUUCUUUCACUUUCUCUUAAAACAAGAUUACAAGUUUACAAGAAUAACAAAUAACCUCUCUCCCCCUAAAUUAGGAUUUGCAGCUUAGCAAUGAUGAGAGACUAGUAUGCUAUUUAUAAUAAAACCUAACAUACUAACUAAUGGGCUUUUUCAGCAAGGCCCAUUACACAAGCCAACUUAAUAAAUAAGCUAACUUAACAAAUUAGGGUUUAAACAUCUAAAACCUAAUUUAACAUGCUAACAACCCUAGCAUCUUCGACAUCUGCAUGCUAGACCCAUCUUCGACUACAGCAUGCACACUUCGACACCAGCAUGUGAACAAUCCUUCGACUUCAUGCUUAACUCUGUCGAACCGUCGAACCAAGAAGCUACCCUUCGACAAUACUAGAGUUCGAUUCAAUAUCUCACAAACUUCAUAGCAGUUCUCUACCUGAGCUCUAACGGUCAUUUAAAACAUGUGUAUAAAUAUUUCAACUUUAAACCCAUCAUUACCUUUUCACAUUCUCAAAAGAUUUUACCAAAAUAUACAAGCACUAAUGUGCGCAACAUAUAGUUGCAAUAAGAAUAAAAAUUAAUACAAUCGAAAGUAAAAAGUAAUUUGAAUUAUUUGAUUUGGAUUCUGUAUCUAUAACAUUUUUUAUUUAGAGGUCUAUGGUAAGAAUAUAUAAUAGCUUCGGAUAAAAUAAUUUUUGUUUAUCUUAUGUGAAAGUAGUAUUACUGAUUUAAUUUUAUGAGUUAUUUUAUUUCAUGCAAUUUUUUUAUUUUGUUUUAUAAAAUUAUUUGUGAGGUAUAUAAAGUGAGAGACGAGAGAAUUCAACAUUCUCUCCUCUAUUUUGUUCUCUUAUACAAGCUGAAAGUUAAGUUCUCUCUCUAAAAAGAAGGAAACCUAGUUAUAGAGUGAUAGACAAGAGAAUUCAACAUUAUCUUCCCUCCUUUUUUGCAUUCUAGCACAUCAAAAGGAGCGUUAUAAGCUUUAAUUUAAGGUAAGUUUUCCUCACUCAUUCCUCAUUACUCGCAUUAAUUUUUAGUUUGAGCAGAAAGAAAGAACAUGUUGCUUAAGAAAUGUACUUUCGAAUUGAACUCACCUACAUUUUUUCGAAAAUGUUAUUUCGAACUCAUCUAUUACUGGUUUUAAAAAUUAUGUUGUUUUGCUUUUUAUUAGAUAUGGUUCACCCAGAUAUGUUUUUUAAAGUAGUUGUAUGUGACGAUGUAAAACAUGAUGUAGCGAAGGUAAAUGUUAAACUAGUUGAAGUUAAGGAGGAUAUUAAACUGAAAAAAGUAAAACAUAUUGUUAAAGUGAUAUAAAUAGAUAUUGGUCAAUGUUUCAUAAAUGAACAAUUGUAUAUUACUCGCUAACAUAUGCUUCAAUGGGUCCGCAUGAUAACCAUGAAUUUGGGGUUUUGCAUUGUAAUUGAAAAGCUUGAUAAUGGUUCUAAUAUAAGACAAAUAUUUGUAACCAUGAUAUAUAAUAUGCGAGAGAAGUGGGACAUAUAUUCUCCCAGUUCGAAAGUUGAAACAUGAUGAUACUAGAACGAGAAAGAGUGGUUGUCUGUUUAAGCUGCGCGGAUAUUGUAGCAUCGAUGGGAUGUGAAAAUUUAAUGUGCUUUUUGGAAUACAUAAUGAAUUACAAACAAAGUUAACCGGUCGUCCCAUUGUAUGUCGUUUUAAAUCGAAGGAGAAGGAAAUUGUUUCAAACACGUCUUUAAUCAGAGUGGCGUCUAAAAACAUACUUGUAGAUUUAAAACAGAAACACAAGCAGGUAUACAAUCAGCAUUAUAGAAACAUGGCGAUAGGGGUCUAAGAUUCAAAAUUCAAAAUGCAACUUUUGAAAUUUUGGAUGAAUACUACUAUGUUUUUAGGUACGGAGUAUGUGAUGAUAAAGUUAAUGUUCAUCGCAUUUUUUGGACUCAUCUCGGAAGAAUCAAGUUGAUUAACACAUUUCUUAUUGUCAUCAUUAUUGAAUAUUGAUGCAACGUACAAGACCAACAAGUAUAUGUUUUUGUUUUUUGAAAUUAUUGGUGUUACUUCUAUGAAGGAGAUUUUUUCAGUGAGAUUUACAUUUUUGAAAUUCAAAAAAGAGGCCAACGUUACAUGGGCCUUGGAGGUGUGCAAGACUUUGUUGGAGGAUCAAGAAAAUAUGUCGAAGCUAAUUGUCACCGAUUAAGACAUUGCACUAAUGAAUUUGGUUGCAAAGGUGUUUCUUACUUUCUACGCAUUACUUUUUCAAAAUCACAUUACAAAAAAUGUGAGGAGUCAGCUAAAACCUAAUGUAGGCACCAAAUAAAUCAAGGGUGCAUAUUGGAAAAAUGGUCAAAGCAAGUACGGUGGCAGAAAAGAUUAUGGGUGCAUGGUCUGAUAUAUUAAAUUCAUCCAUGGAAGAAUUGUAUGUUGCUUUCGAAGUGCAAUUUAGUAGCAUGUGUGUCUGAUAUCCAGAUUUUAAAAAUACGUUAAGAGUAGUAUUCUGGACUAAGUGAAGGAAAAGAAUGUUUGUGCAUGAACCGAUCAGGUUAGACACCUCGAUACUAUAACGAUUUACAAACUUGAAUCAGGGCAUGCGACGUAGAAGAAAUGGUUGGGUGAUAGUAAGGGUGAUUUCUAUAAAGAUUGGGAUGGUGUGAAUCAUAUUCUUCAAAACCAGCAUUAAAAAAUUCAAACCACUUGUAGUCGAGGCAUAACGGUGCAAGAACAUGGAUUCAAAGACAAUAUUAUCUAUUUACAAUUGGUUGGAUGUGUAUCUUGGUCGGCGUUGAAUUUCAUAUUUCACGAAGCGAAGCUAGCUGAAUAGACAGGUACAGAUUUAGCAAAGUACACUUGUUCAAUUCAAAGUGCAUGUGUUCCUUGUCGUAGUAGUAAGGCACCGUUUUUAAAUGGAUGUCCUGAAAUAGGCCACCUGAUAACAAGUAUGUAUGUCAGAGUGUGUAUCAAUCUGAUAAGACAUGAGUUAUUGGAGAUAUUUUUUCUAUUACGCAGUAGUCCAUCUUAAAACAAUAAUGGACGCAUCAUAUACAUAUGGUUUCUUUUAAAGGGUUUAUACUUUGUUUAGGUUUAUUUUGAAACCUGGGUGUCCAAUCUCUAUUACAUUGAUCGAGUGGACGACGCAUUCAACAAUUGAGGUGGAAAUUUGGCUGGUAGAGUUCACAAAACUCAUGAAGUUUGAAAGAGAAUCAAAUAAGAAAGAGUCGAAGGCAGGACCAAUUGUAGAUUUAUGCGGUACUGGAUCUUUUGAUGCAUUUUGGAUUGUAAUCAAUACAUCUUUUGUAUUAUUAAUUUUGAAAUAAUAUAAUACAUAUUAAUUUUAUGGUUUUCUUUUUGUUUACGAUGCAUGUGCAUAUUUAUAAAGAUUUUGGAUUUUUUUCUAGUUCAGUGAAGUUUUUAGAAAUGUGACCCUGAAGUCACCCUUUUUAUAACUAAACGUGUGAUUUACUCAGACAUGUGACUCCGAACUCACAAUUUUUAUAUUUUUUUUGCAUAUGCCUUUUCAAAUUUUUAUCUGAUACAUGAUAAGAAUUUUGUGGUCCAAAGUUACCCAAUACUUGUAUAAAUAUGGUGUGUCUCAACCUUGCUGCAUUAAAACACUAAAACCAGAGAAAAUGACUUCUUAUCUCCACCUUGUAUUUGUGUAUUUCAAUAGUUAGAAACCACCUCUUCUGUUUAGGGUCACUGAGGAAACAUCACUUGCAUAUCUGAUAUCCAAACUGAAUAUUCUGCUACGCUUUUUAAAAAAUUGCAGAGUUGUCAAGCUCGAGUAUCGCUCACCAUUUGACAACGAAGAGAAUAUUCAUUUCACCAACAUUUAACUGAAGACGAGUGAAGAUGUAAAGGUUAUAUAGAGUAUUUUCUCCGUUAUGAAUCAAAGGGUCUUAUUGAAGUGGAUGCGAAGAUUCAAAGAUCCGUCGAGGAUAUAAUAUUAUGUUGCGACUUUCCAAUGAAAUAGUUAUUUGAUGUGAAUUUUAUUUCGUGAUUAUCUAUGUAAUGAAAUGUUGGUGUUGGUAUGUUUUUUAUUUUAAAGUCAUGUUUCCAUUUAUGCUUGUUUGGUUGAGUUCUGGAAGAAGGUCUUGCUCGGAGAUGCAUCUCUAAACAUCAUUAAAAUUACUUACGAGAUGCAUCUCCGAUUUUGUUGUGAAAAAAUGGUUUUUGGUGUGUCCGGAUAUUAGGGAAGACAAAUGGACAUGCCCGGCCCAUUUAGGUCCGUCCCACAAAAGCCGCAAAAAAUGGGUCGAGACAGGCCUAGUUAAGGGUGCGAGCCUAAAACCUUGAUCUGUCCCAUAAAAAAGUGAGGGUGAGACAAACUAAGCCCGCGGGCACUAUACCUUUUAACUUUUAAGCCUCAAAGUAAAAAAAAUUAUUUUAAUUUUUAUGCCCGCAUAAAAAACGGGUGGGGCUGUGUCAUUAAAGGGUGAGGGUAUAAGACUUUGACCCGCCCUGCACUAAAGUGUGGGCAAUACGAAUAUGUCCAAUGGGUCGGACCCGUUUUGUCACCCCUAUCAAAGAUCCAUCUCUGAAAAUUGAGACAUUUUAAGAAUUUUGCAUAGAACCUGGGAAAUGUAUAAGGGUAGGAUGAAAAUUUGUCUAGAGAUAUGGCUUGUGUUUUGUUUAUAGGUGGGGGCGAUUCUCAUCGUACUAUCCGAUUUUGUAGGGAUGAGUUAAGUCCAACUCAAAUUUUGAGAUGGUAUCAAAGCAUAUCCUAAAUAUAUUGUUAGACUUUCCACAUCGUCCAUGCUUCAGACUCAUUAGCAUGUAAUAUUAUAGUAUGUGUAUAUUUUUACAACAUCAAGAUUGUAACAUAUUUAGAAAUUACAUUCAUUCACAAAAGCUCCAUCAAAUUCUCUUCUUUUUUUUUUUUUGCUCUUAUGCUUUGUUUGAUUCUUACAAGAAAUUGUGAAGAGAGAAAUAGGUAAGAGAGAGUAAGGGAAGAGAGAAAUUGAUAAGAAAUAAAGUAGAUUUAAGUUAUUGUUUGGUAGAAUAGAAAGAAAGGUGAAAUAGAGAAGAGGGAAGUAGAAUAAUUUAUGAAUUUACAAAAAUACUUUAUCAAGAAUUAAUUAAACAGUUGAUUGAUUUAUUGGACACUUCUUAAAUAUUUACUAUAUUCAUUGGUAAAUUUAAAAUUUUAUUAUAUUUUAAUAUAAAUUAAUUAAUUAAACCACCAGCUCUUUUAUUCACUUUAUUUCCUUUUAUGUUAUUAUUCCAAAAGGUGAAUUCUUAUCUACCCAACUCAAAAAGGUAGGUAAAGUUACCUUCUGUGUAAAAUGUCUUGAAAACAACAAUCAAUUGUAAUAUUUAAUAAAUAAUUAAUUGUGUUAAAAUUAGAUGGCAUUAUAUAAUUGGUCGAAUGUACAUUACCCAACUUUUUGUGAUGGGUAGAGAAGUUGUCCCCUUCCAAAAAUGUAUUAUUCAUUCUCCAACUGUUGCCAACUUCACCUUAGUAAUACAAAAUUUUAUUUAAAAAAUUUAAUUGUUACUAUUGUUAGUAGUAUUAUAUAAAUAAAAAUAAAUGUAGCACUAAAGUGUCAGUGUGAAAGUGUGAAAGAAUGACAAUAAAGUUUUGUAGUUAAAAAACAAAGGACAAAUAUGGAAAGGACAAAUAAAAGAGUGGUUUAUGCUACUUUCUUUGCAAAUUUUCGGAGAAACAAAAAGGUGGUAGGAACCACCAUAAUCUAUUCUCUCUUCUGUGUUUCAUAGCAGGAGAAGCUGCAAUUUCUCGCCCCUCUCUCUUCGCUACCCUCUCUCUUCUGCAUUUCCCUUAAACCAAACACACUGUUAGCUAGUGUUUAUUGGUUUGAGUUUAAUAUAUAAAUAUUAAUUUUUUAAAAUAGAUAAAAUUUAAAUGAUAAUAGUUUGAUUCAAUUAUGUAUUUAUAGAUUUUAAAGUUAUUUAUGAUUAUUUAAAAAAUCAUUGAAUCCCAAAAGAUAAAAAGAACUAUUUAAAAAAUGUAGAUGGUUUUAAAAGAUAAACACCAAUUUUCUAAAGCAAAAUUAAAAAAUUAAAAUUUUAAGAAUAAAUUAUAAACGCCAAUACUUUUUUUGUUUAUUAACAUUUAAAAGUGUUUAAGUGCUAAGAAAAAUAUAAGAAAUAAUGUUUAGCAUUACCUCAAACCAUCACUAAACAUAAAAAAAUAAAUAAUAAUAAUAACAAUGACAAUUUGAACAGUCAUAAUUCCAAAUACGAGAAGGUUAGUAAUUGUGACCUCAAACACUAAAAUCAAAAUUCUUUUCAUAUGACGUUUAAGUAUAAGCACAAAUUCCUACGACCAACAUAAUUCUUUUUAGUAUGUUUUGUCCAACUCGCAUAUUUCUUGAAAACGAUUUUCCUAUUGGCCAACCAUCCCAAAGGUUCUCCAAGUUGAGUAUGACAAUUAUGAAGUCUUCAUGAUAUGGGUUACCGAAAAAAGGUCAAUUGUGGAGUCUUCAUAAUAUGGUUACCGAAAAGAAGUUGCAUUUGUUUCUAUGUACGGAAUGAGUCGUUAACUCUUAUGCUUCUCUAUUCACCAUGCAGUCACAAACAACCUUAGGAUUUCUCUAGUUCUACUGUGGGUUCGAUCUAUAAUUUAUCUAGAGUUGUUCGUUGUUCUUACUUGUACUUUGAUGUUUAUCACCUCGUUUGAUUCAUCCUUGGUAAUCAAUAUUUGAAUUCUAUCUAGCAUAACUUACACCUUAGCUCGAUAAUCUUAAAUGCAUCCAAAACCGCAAAUUUGAGGGCUUAAGAAGUACACUUCCAACCGCUACCAUAAAUGUACAUUUGGUCCUAUACAGAAAAAGGCAACUAAGAGACCUAUGUUAGCACAAAAGUUAUUUGAGAAAAAUUAUUCUAUCGGAUAUUAUUUUUUCCCUUCCUCUGCACGACUCCAUGAGAUGACAUUUCCCAUUAAGUCAUAUUGAGGACAAGAAAAGGAUGCUAACCUUUAGAACGACAGACAAACUUCCUACCCAAAUAACUCAUAGACUUGACUUAAAGGCCGAAUAAAAUUGACCUGCUAUGAUACCAAAUUGUAAAACCUAAGUAGAAAGAAAAUAGGAUAUUUUUUUCAAUGCGGAAAUAUUUCUUAAAAUGGAGCUCGGAUUUCACUAAUUUUUUUUUUUUCAAAUAACUUUAUAGUUCAAAGAGACUUAUUAAUUAAAACAUGCCACUUAAAAGAAAGUUUGAUAAUAUUUUACAAUCCAGUAUUUUUGAAAGCAAAAUCAUAAAAUAUAAUUUUAAAUCUAGACUAUGUUGUGAUUUGACUCCAAUGGACCCAAAGUAAAAUCUUAUGCCUAAAAAAUAAUCAGCACAGUGGGAUAAUAUAUUACAAUCUUAAUGAGGUUUCAAAGAGGGAUAAAAUAUAGUAUGCCACAUUUAAUAAUACAAUUGUAGAAAUAGUCCUAAAAAAUUAGGAUAAGAUAAAACAAUCAGGAUAAAUUAUAAGUCUAUUUUAAACUCAUUUACUAACCGAACGCCUAGAUUUUGCCUUUACACUGAAACUUAAUUUGACCAUGUUUAUCCCAUAGUUCUUAUAAUUCUCAUACACAUACGUAGAUCUAACACAAUAUAUAAUAUCUUUUUAAUUUUAUUUCUAAAUACCAUUGAGCGUGAGUGUACUAAAAGAAAUUUUCUUCCUAGUGAAGUGAGACAUGUAAAUCACAAUAGACAUUCUUUAUGUUUGCGUACCUUCACAACUCUAUCUCACACAUUAUUAAACUUCUUUAAUUUCCUGUAUAAAAAAUUAGUACUUGUAGCGCUAAUAGUCACCUUAUUUUAUUUACUUGCUAGCCAGUGAAGUGAGAUAUAUAAGUAGCAAACAAUCAUUAUUUUUUAUCCUACCUUCACAUAUCUACCCAACAAUGUCUUAUUAUAUUAUACUUAUUUCUACUUAAAUGCAUAAAGUGUGAUUUUAAUUAAUCACCCUAAUGAUUAGUUACUAGAUCAAGAUUCAUAAACAUGAUCCACUUUUAAAAUUAUAACUAAAUCUAAUAAAUUAUGUAUAGUUUUUAAUGAUAAAAGUUCUACUCCUAAAUUACUUCUGUAAGAUGAUUUAUGAACACAAUAUUGGCAAUAUGUCAAAUACUUCAAUUGUAGAAUUUUAAAAUAGUAGUUAAACUUACAGCUCAGUUUUCUCAGUUAUACCACAACCAAAAUGAGACAAAUUAAAGUUCGCAGUUAUACCACAACUAAAAUGAAACGAAUUAAAGUCUAUUUCGUAUUAAAUUUUCUCUGGUUUCUAAUGUUUCAAGUUUUACUCUUAAAAGAAAUGUGUAACUAAAUGUUUAAGUAAAUCACUAACAGGGCAUACCAAUCACAAGUUGAAGAAUUUACAUCCUAUCUAUUCUAUUAUUAAUCCCAUAUAAGAUAUCAGUGGCGGAGCCAGGAAUUUUAUGCAGUCUGGGCAAAAUUUUUACACCAUUGAUUAUUCAUUUGUUUUAAUUUUCACACCUUAUUUUUACUAAUUUUGCCCCUAAUUUGCCCCGGAUUUUAUCUAAAAAUCGACUAUUAAAUUAGGGGAGUACAAAGAAAAUAGGGGUUGAGCCCGGGCGCCUGCCCGGGCUAGUUGGGCCUUGGCUCCGCCCCUGUAAGAUAUAGUACAUCUUAUGGUUUUAUAGUGCCCCCUAACAUUUCAUAAACAUCAAAUACAUAUAGAAAAUUUCGAAGGUUAAAAACAUUAAAUAUGGAAUGUGCAUAUUCAUUAUGUAAAAAAGAUCAUUCUAACACUAUUAUGCAUGCAUCAUGAUCGAUUCAUAAUCAAAAUCAUAUCUUUUAUUUUUACAGCCCUUAAUUCGAAAAUAAUGAUGUGUGAGGGAUGGGAAGACCUAAACCUAAAAACACUAAUAACAUCAAUAAUGUGAACAAAUACAAGGUCUUCAUUUAAUCAAAUAUAAUCAGGAUUGGAUAAUUCUAAUAUAUUCAAUUUGUUUGCACAAUGAUUGCCUUCUAUGGUAAAAUGUAUUGUUAGGAAACAAAUUGACACGAAUUUUGUCAAAUAUAUGUAAUUGAUCCAUCCAUUUAAGAGGCCCAAGGAUUAUAUAAGUUUCUAAAUGUUAUAAUAACCAAUUUAAAAUAUGUUUCUAACUAAAGUUUAUUCCACCCUUUAUCACAUUUGGUCUAAACGGGUUGGCCCUAGCGGGCCUCGAGCUUUUCAGGGCCAUGCCCAAAAAUCCCAGAUUGAAUAUGGAUUCUAAUUUUGCUACCUGAGCCCAAUCUUGUAUGGACUAUGGGCUACCCAGCCCUAAAUGGACCCAUUACAAAAAAUAAUGAAAUAGUCUCCUUAUUUUUGUAAGUAACUAUGCAAUAAUACUUGUAGUAUGUAUUAAAUUUCAAAUCCAAAACUAGGGUUUCUAAAUAAUCCAUCUAAGUUAACAAUUAAAAUCUAAAACAACACAUUAACUUAAUUUAAAAUGAUCACAAUUUAUCCAACCUAGCACACAAAUUUAAAUAACUUGUUCCAACUAGGGGUGGCAAAACGGUCUGUGGCCCGUUGGGCCGGUCCGCGCACCCGCAAAAAAUUGGCAAGUUGGGUUGGAGUUUUGGGUCUAGCGCCCACCAAAGUCCGCCCCGCCAAAACCUGUCGCCCAUCAAAGUUCGCCUCGCCUAUUCGUUCAGCUCGUCUUGCCUUAAGUCUGCCAUUUUUAGCUAAUUCUAGUAACUCCAAUUUUAGAUGGUUUUAAUUUAUACAUUUAUUUGUAAAUAUAUGUAUUAUUUUUUAAGUAAAAUUUGUUAAAAAGAUGCUUUUAUAAAAAAAUUGUUUUAAAAAGUAAGUGAAAAUUUUAAUUUAAAGAUAAAAAAAACAUAUUAAUCUAUUAAAAAACGAAAAAAAUAUAAAUAAAAAAUAGGCGAGCAAGCCCGCCGCCCGCCAACCCAUCAUUUUGGCGGGGCGAGCAUGAUUUUUAUACCCACUUCACUUGGCGGACUUGCCCACCCCACUCUCUUUUUGGCGGGCUUAAGUCGGGGCGGGCGACCCGUUUUGCCGCUGUUGCACCCCAAAAUUUGUCCUCUUUCUCUGUGCUAUAAGUUUUAAAAGACGUUUAUUUCGUCGCUUGAAAAUCAGAAAAGUUAUAAAGAGUUUCUUAUGCAUGAUGUGUGCGAUCGUUAAUUCAACUGGCAUUCAUUGAAUUUCAUAGUGAAGUGUUCUUAUGUGCUUUAAUUUUUAUCUUCAUCAAAGGAGUUCUCCAAGCCUUAUGGUUAUGUUAAAGUCUUUUGUUGAGGAAGUACCUUUGUCAGGACAUGAUAUAUGACUUAAGAAUUCAUUUCAAUCGAUGCAUCCUCGUUCUUUCAAAUUGUUUGGUUGUUUGAAGUCUAAGCCACUUGCGGUUUGAUAAUUAAAUACGAGUUUUCGUCUAAAGAAUUGGAUCCAUUGGUGAUUUCUAAAGGCCGUGAGUUCAUGUUUGUUCAGGAUGUUAAGUUUUGGUGCCCACAAGGAUUUAUUGGUGUUCACAUUACAAGGCUAAGGCGUACAUGUUUAUGCAUCAAAAGGAUUCGUUCAAGUAUUGAUACAAUUUCUUCCGAAUUCAUUCAAUCAUUCAUUCGUUCAAGUUCUACACAUUUUGGUGUUAAUCAUCAUUCAAGUUUUCAUACAUUUCAACUUUCAUUCAAAACUCAUUACAAAAAAAAUCAUGUUAUUACAUUCAACUUCAUUCACAAAACCCUUUCAAAUUUCUAUCCAAUGUUCAUUACAAAGCCCACUAAAAAAAUUUCCAUAGUUCAUUGUUCGGAUCCUAUUUCACUACGCUUCAAAUAAACCUAUCCCUGCAUAAAAACUGGUUCAAUCAAACUGAGCUGCAAAAAAGGAAAAACAGAAACCUGCAGCAAAAUAAACCAGGUCGGUUCAGAAAGAAGAACAAACCGAACCGUAACACCAAGCCAAAAGAAUCAGCAUAACAGAAUCAGGAAAUUAGCAGUAGAAGAAGAACAAAAAAGAAAUGAACCGAAUGGUAACAAAAGGGGGGGAAGAUUCAGAACCAGAGAAGAUAACUGAAAAUGAUAACAAACUCUGCAAAAAGGGAUCUCGAUCGGAAUUCUCAACAAUCUUCACAAAUCCAUCUUCUUCAUCUUCUUCACAAAUUCAACAAACAACCGUAACAAACCUCCUAAAACUUUUCCAAUCUUCAUCAUCUCUUCUUCGUAAAAAAUCAUCAUCCCCAAUCUUUCAAUCUUUCUCUCUGGAUGCAUCACACCUCUAACUAAAAUCCUCUUCAAACCUUCUUCAAUUUCACCUUCAUCAACAUCGAUUCGACCUUCACAGAUUCAAACCUUCAUCAUUCAUCAUCUCCAUCUUCAUCAACAUCGAAUCUAACCUUCAAUUCUCCAUCGAUUUCACCUGCAAAAAAAUCACAAAAAAUCUUCAACAAAUUCUUCAUCACUCUCCCGAUUUCAUCACAAUCAUCACCGUAUUAUCUUGCUCCGUUCAACCUUCAACAAACCUGCAACAACAUGAUUCAUCAAUAACCUUCAACCUGCAGAAGAACAAGAAACAAGAAAAUCAAUUAUAACAGAAAUCUUCGUGCGGCUUCAAUCAUCAUCAACCAUCAAUCCUCUUCAGAAUCUUUCUCUCUAAACUUCAUCGAUCUUCAACAACCUUCACGCACAUCAAUCAUCACCAUGGCGAAACUGUAUCUCCAAGCGUAACUUUCACGAUACCUGCGAGUUCAACUCAACCACGCCGCAAUUUCCAGAAACGUUUCGAUCUUCAUCAUCAAAUCAUCAACAAAACCUGAAACGGAAUCGAAAUCAACGUUUAAUAGCAAUAACGUUUCAUCAUCAUCAACACGCGAAAUGAAAAGAAGAAGAAAAUAGAGUAAGAGCACCGGAUGUUGGAUUUCUCAUCGUCUUCAUCGGUCUUGAAGAAGCACAGAACACUGUUCCGAGAAGAGAUAUGGUCGAGCGAGAGAUUAGCUAGGCUGAGCAGAGAUCGAGAGAGGUCGAAAGAUUGAGGCGAAGAGAACUUGAUUCGGAGAGAGUGAGAGGUUGAGCCGCGAGAGAAGCGAAUCGGAGAGUUUUUGAGAAAACGAGUCCGGAGAAGAGAGAGCCACCGCACCGUCGCCGUUCGCGGCCAUACGAGAGAGGAGAGAGCUUUUCAGGUUCAGUUGAAUGGUCAUAACUUGACCUAAUCCCUCUUUUAAUUGUCUUGUUUAAUUUGAAUUAAUGUCAAUUAAUAUAGAGUCUAAUUUGGUAUUGAAUCUGAUUAAUGUGAAUAAAAAACUGAUUGAAUUGCUGUUAAUUGAAUCAUUAAUUUGAAGUGAUAUAAAAAAAUCUGAAAAAAUGUGUUGGAUCAUGAUAAUAAUUAUUGUGGAUCAAUAAUCCUUGGGCCCUUCACCGAACUACUAUUCGAACCUCCCCUAAGCCCAAUCACACUCAUUCUUUUUUGUGCUAAAUGAACUGAACAAAAACAAUGAUUCUUUGGGCCUCAAUCCCCAGGCCUUGCGCUGACCUUGCUGUCUGCACCCUAUUUUCACACUUAAACCCCCUGGCCCAUAUAAAUUCAUGCUAGAACUUAGUUUUUUGUUUACAUAGUUUUUCUCUACUUCUUUUAGAUAAUAAAAUGACACAUAAAAACAAUUGUUUUGUUAGACUUUUGUAUGUUAAAAAUGAACAAAAACAUGUAUCCUUUUCUUGAUUAGAAUUUAAAUGUUUUGUUUCAUAGUGUAGUUCUAAUUCUUUGAUAAAAUACCAUGAAAAAUACAAUAUUUGAUUAGACUUUUGCAUGAUAAGAAAAGAAUAAUAAAAAAACAUGUAGUAUUUUUUUUGUUAGAAUUUUAUAUUUUUGUACAUAGUUUUGUUCUUAUUCUUAGAUAAAAAUGCCCUAAAAAAACAAUUUAAUCUUGUUAGACUUUUGUUUAGGAUUUAUUUAUAAUUUAAUUUCUCUUAUUUUCUAUGGUCGGUGCAUGCUUCCUUGUUCUUACUGAUUUGGUUGUUGAGAUGUGCGAGGUACUUCGAGAAAGCCUUCGAUUGCGAUUCGACUUACUUUGUGUCCCACUUUAUUUGUGGGACACGAAUUCGCUUCCAGUGCGAUUGAUUUGAGUCGUGUUCCACUUUAUUUGUGGGACACGAACUUAUUCCCGAUACGAUUCACCUGAUCUCUCAUUCAUUGAGAUGUAUAUUCUUGAAUUGUCUGGCUUGUGUUCUCUUGCAGGUUUGUAUGGUUAUGCUCGACGUGUACCACAUGUCGCUCGUGAUUUAUUUUCACGACGACACUUUCUGACUCGCUUUGCUUGAUGAUGGUUUACGCGAAGUACUUCGGACUUCUCUGCUUACGCUUGCUAGCUCAUUGCGGAUUUGCUAUCCGUUUGGUAUUGUCUCCUUGGCCCUUUUACUUCUUUCUGUACUUUAUUGCUUUUCGCAUCAUCCUAUAACAUGAGAAGUAGGACCUAGACAUGCAUCUGGCCAAGCCCUCGAAAGAGGCUCUGUUUUUGUUGGUAUGUUUACAUUUGUGCUUUGCGGCAGGGAGUCACGGUGUAAUAAGUCCUAUAUGGCACUCCGUUAAGUCCUCUUGGAAGGCACGCGGAAAGGGUUAGCAAUCAACCCCCGCCCAGUCUCAUCGAGUUUGUUCAGUAUGCGCACGCUACGCGUGGCUCGCUUCUGAACCUGCACAAGAUCUUGUUAUUGAGUAUGUCAGGAAAAGGGUUCAUGCAGCCGGACCCCCGCCUUUCCUAUAGGUCGCGUCGCUCGACGUUGAUGCUCGGUGUACGCACGCACCGUCUUCCUUUACGAUCCGUGACGGCUUGGUUGCUGAGAGGGAUCCGCUCCUCUUGUCUAUGGCUCGAUCAUUUUCGCGAGGUCUAAUGCUUGGUUGACUUGGGUCGAGUUGCUCCCCUUGGCUAUGGAGGGACCGCUUUUCUACCAUUCGGUCAGUACCGUUGGUUUUGUUUGCUUUACGAGCGGAGCUCGUUUGUGUGAUAUUAUUAUGUGCUUUCCCUUUUCCCCCGUAGGUUGAUAGGCUAGUUUAGACUUGUACCCUUUGUAUGAUAACAUUAGGUAGCAAGCUUUCCCCCUUAGCUUAGGUUUUCCUCAUGCAUUCUUUAAAACACAAACCACACUCUUUGAUUUUCUUUUCUUAAGAGCUUGUUAUUUCCGCUCCAUUCCCAGCAUAAGUCUCCAAAGGUCGAGCAGCGGAGUGUGAAUGUAACUUGUUCACCUAAAAAACACAAAACAAACAAAAAUUAGUUAGCCGAGCUACGGUAACUCUGAUUCUGCAAAACAGAUACGUAGGCAGCGGGGUAGGCCCCGUGCGAGCACAAUCCUUUCUUUUCCCUAUAUUCUGCAUUCAUUUUAGUCCAGAUUAGCGUAGUUUUGUUACACACCCAUAGAUAUAGACACUAGCGUGGAUACCAUCGAGUACGAUGGGCGUGAGGGGUGCUAGUACCUUCCCCUCGCGUAACCGACUCCCUUACCCUUUUUCUCUGGUCGUGAGACCGUUGUUUUGUUUUGUGGUUUGCUGGCAUUCCCUUCCUUUUCAGGAUAAAUAUGUUAGUGGCGACUCUGUUUAUUUUUGCGGUAGCGACAACCACCCUUAGUUUCAACAAGGUUUAAGUUACACAUUUCAUGCAGGGGUGGCAAAGUGGGCUGCCUGCCCCGCCAUAUGUCCGCCAAAAAAGAGUGGGACGGACAAGCCUGCCAAGUUGAAAUGGGCAUACAGACCUAUCCCGCCCCGCUAGGUGGUGGGCUUACCCGCCUAUUUUUUUUCUUCAUUUUUUAAAAUAAAUUAAUAGACUUUUUUUACAUUUCAAAUUCCAUGUUCAAAUGUUCGUCAUGUCACAAAAUAACUUUAUUCCAACUUUUAAAAAUGUUUCCAUACUUUAGUUGUAUGGGCCUUUUUGUUUUUUGGUAGUUGGCUUGGAAAACUCUUCUUGGUUAAUCUCAUUGUCAUCAAGAUCAAUUACAUCAGACAAAGCAAAUAAUGGUAAAUGUGGAGUUGCCCUAAAUUGCCUAGCAUUAACCUUACUAUUACUAUUAAUUUCUACAAUUAGAGUAGACACAAAUUAUAAUCCCUACAUGUAAAUCACCAGAAUAACAACAACAAGCAUUCGAUUCAGAUCAACACAAAAUCAUCCCUAAUUUUUUUAUAAAAUCAACAGAGUCACAUCACAAUCACAACAACAUAUAGUUUUGUUAAAUCAAAAUUUCCCUCUUUCUCUUUUCAGCCAUAAAAACUUUUUCUCCCUACUUUCUCUAAUUUAAGCUACUAGUCACUAAAACAGCAUAUUCACAGAAACGAAGACAAAGUCACGAAUCAAAAACAACAUAUUCAUAGUC
Molecule: long non-coding RNA, 45258 nt
Organism: Vicia villosa (hairy vetch)
Lineage: Eukaryota; Viridiplantae; Streptophyta; Magnoliopsida; Fabales; Fabaceae
Exons: 8
Source: RefSeq, a predicted model, not a curated record